GGACACAAUUUACUGUCCCUGGAAAGAAAGAUACACUAUAUGAAGCUGACACAUUUCUAGAUGGACCUUCAUCAUUGUACCAGAGCACAACAAAUUGGGCAGUAAGCAGCACCGGUUCCUUCAUUGAUGAUGACCGCCCUAAGGACACCUUUAUAUGGCGUAAUGAAACUACACUCUCUAUGGCCAAUCCUCUACUGUACAUGAACGCACGCCUUUCUCCCAUCUCUCUAACUUAUUUUGGGUUUUGUCUGGGAAAUGGAGACUACACUGUAAAGCUCCAUUUUGCAGAGAUAAUGUUUAGAAAUGGCAAAACAUAUAAAAGCUUGGGAAGGCGCAUAUUCAAUAUUUACAUUCAGGUAAGUAUCGCAUCCACUUCCAUGUAUACCAGUGAAUUAUUCUAAUUUUCAGCUAGCAUUGUUUAUAUUUUGGUCGAUUUGAAUGUUAACUUUCACAUUUAUGUUCAUGAAAUGUUAAGCAACUAAAUUAGUAUAUAUACAUAAAUAUAUUGAAGGGAAUCCUAGUGAAGAAGGACUUCAAUAUCAUGGAUGAAGCUCGUGUGUUUGGUGAUGUAGUCAUAAUGAACUUUACUGCUCCUGUAACUAAUAUACAUUGGAGAUUCGUUUAUAUUGGGCCGGGAAAGGGACGACAGGCAUCCCUGUUAGAGGAGUCUAUGGUCCUCUUAUUUCAGCUAUUUCAGUAGACCCAAGUAAGUUUUCAAUGAUCUGACCUUUGUCUUAUUACUAUGCGUCGACCAUAUGCAUUGAUAUAUCUACUAAAUUAAGAGAUCCGACUUCAGCUCUGCAAGGUUCUUCAAUAUUUCCUUUCCCUUGUAUUUUCACAAAAAUGCUUCUGUGCUUUUCUCCUGUUUUACAUAGUUUGAGCCAAGACUUGAAAUACUCUUUUAAAUUUUCUUAUCACAUAAUAUGCUGAAUUUUCUAGGCGACGGUAUGUGCUUUUAAAUACAACAAAAUUCAACUUGAGGAUUGUUUGUUGAGGAAAAACUUAAGAGUACAGAAUUCUAACACAAGUGUUGGAGACACAAAACAAGUGAACAAAUUACUUGUAUUACACUCACAAAAUAUUGCAACACACAAACUCUCAAAGACACUCUUUAGAGGCAAUGACCUCACUCAUUUUCUAAAGACAAACUCUAGAUCACUCAUACUCCUCACAAGACUACUCUGACUUCUCACUCUCACUUGGUUGCCCGCUUCUUCUUGGUUGGUUGGUUUAUUUCACAACAUCACACACCUAUUUAUAGGCAUGUAUGCCGACUUCACUAGCACUUUCUAGUGCAUGUUCAUGCACACACUGCACCGACAUAUGACUUUUCAUAAUAGCCACAUAUUGUAUAAGCUGCUAGAACUUUCUAGCACAUGAUUAUAUACACACACCCACUGACUUAAUAGGAUAAUGCUAGAAUUAUCUAGCAUAUUGAUACGCCUGCAUGAUGCACCGUCUUUAGUGCUAGAAUUUUCUGGAUUUGUGUAGAAUGGGCUGGGGUUGGACUGUUUUAACAUUUUUAACUAUUUACAUGAAAAUAAUCCAGUUCACUUAAGGGAAACAUAUAAUAUUUACAACCAUCCGAAGAAAGUUUGUUCGAUGGAUUACUUCAUAUACUAUCUACUUAUUUAAGGAUGCCCCAAGGACCGGGUUCAAUCUUCUGUUUCUGUGUGCAUUAGAUAGCUGGUUGAAUAAUCCACUCUCAUAUCAAUUACAUUUACAUUUACUCUAAUUUAAGCUAUAUUCUUUCUUCCGACAGACUUUGAUCCCCCGCCAAAACCUGGUGGAAGUGGCGUGCCUACAGGUGGUGUGGUUGGAAUUGUGGUCGGAGGAGUCUUCAUUAUACUACUGAUAUUUGGUAUUCUUUGUAAGAGAGGUCUCCCAGGACAACAAAAGACAUUGGAGGAUGGUAAUAAUUUGCAGUUUAUUCUGUUAUACUGGUUUUUCUUUUUGUUUCUCCAUUACUUUUUCUUAUUGAACUUUUUUCGUAACUAAGAACAAUAUUUAUGCUAUUUUGCAUGGUUCUCAUGCAUAUUGACGUGCAUACACAAAGACAGUAAUUAUUUAGAUAUUGAGCUUUUUGGCCCUUUGAUGUUGCUAUAAUAUAUUUAUCGUCCAAACUCAUGAUGCGGAUUGCAGAGUGUCUGCCUAUAGAUCCAAUUACUAGUUAAAUUCUAGAAGCACAAAAUAUUAAGAACUAAGAAUACUAUCGUUCUGAAAGUUUUCUUCGACACAAUUUCUUAUGAGUUUUACUUGUGAUACAGAUUUGAAGGGUGUGGGCUUGCAAACCGGUAAAUUUACCUUAAAGCAACUCAAAGAUGCCACAAGCAACUUUAACAAAGCCAAUAAGAUUGGUGAAGGUGGUUUUGGUUCAGUUUAUAAGGUAUUCUUCGGAGCUGAUAUUUAUUUAUUUAUUACAUUUUUUUCUAAUUUGAUAUUGUCUGUUCAAAUGAAAGUUAAUUUGCUUUAUAUAGUGAGGCGAAUUUGACUAUCUUUCUCAAAUGCAGGGCGUUCUAGCAGAUAACACCGUAAUAGCUGUUAAGCAGCUUUCUUCCAAAUCAAAGCAAGGGAAUCGUGAAUUUGUUAAUGAGAUUGGCAUGAUUUCUGCUCUGCAACACCCUCAUCUUGUCAAGCUCCACGGAUGUUGUGUUGAAGGAAAUCAACUAUUGCUUGUCUAUGAGUACCUGGAAAAUAAUAGCGUCGCUCAUGCUUUGUUUAGUAAAUAUCAAUCUCGCUUGCCAAAAGUUCAUUUCAUUCAUACAAUGGGCAUAAAAGAUCUUAUGCACUAAAAAUGUCCUUUACAACUAACUUUGUUUAAUUUGGCAAAUUGAAGGGGCAAAAGAAAGUCAUUUGCAGUUGGAUUGGCCAACAAGGCACAAGAUUUGUAUUGGUACAGCAAGAGGUUUGGCUUAUCUUCAUGAAGAAUCAAGAUUGAAGGUCGUUCAUAGAGACAUCAAGGCUACUAAUGUUCUGCUUGAUAAAAAUCUUAAACCGAAAAUAUCUGACUUUGGAUUGGCCAAGCUUAAUGAAGAGGAUAAUACACACAUUAGCACCCGUAUUGCUGGAACUUAGUCAGUCCCUACACUUUUAUUUAUCUUCUUAUUCUCUUGUUUUGAUCUUCUUCAACCCUUAAAAAAGAAGAUAGAGCAACGGAAAGUCUCUAACUUACAUAAUUUCCAACCUAACCAAAUCCUUGUUCAAGAAAUUUCAAGGGCAGAUUUGUUCUUUCAAUAUAGUUGGGUUAAUGAUUUGAUUUCAUGAUAUUGCAGUGGAUACAUGGCGCCCGAAUAUGCAAUGCGGGGUUAUCUGACUGAUAAAGCAGAUGUCUAUAGUUUUGGUAUUCUUGUAUUGGAAAUUGUUAGCGGGAGAAACAACACAACUUACCGGAAAAAGGAAGAAAGCUUUUAUCUUCUUGAUUGGGUAGCAUGAAUCUACUACUUCCUAAUUUCACUUCAAAUUUUCUUAAUAUGCCUUAUACGUAUGAAAGUACAUUUGAAUCGAUGAAGUUUAAUCCAAAGACAGAAUUCAUAUUGCCUUUGAUGCUUCCAUUUUUUGUAGGCACGACUUCUAAAAGAUCAGGGGGAUUUGAUGGACCUAGUUGAUCCAAGGUUGGGAUCAGACUUUAAUAAAGAGGAGAUGAUUGUUGCAAUCAAUGUGGCUCUCCUUUGUUGCAAUGUUACUUCGACAGCUAGGCCUACCAUGUCUUCGGUUGUGAGCAUGCUUGAAGGAAAGGUUGUUGUUCAUGAGUUGGUCUCGGAUCCAAAUGCCAAGAGUAUUGAGAUUGAUGCAAUGAGGAAACAUUUUCAAUCUAGUUUUGGAAGGGGCACGGGAGAGAAACAUAUAGAAAUGGAGUCAACUGAAGGGCCAUGGACUGCUUCGUCUGCGUCUGCUCACGAUCUGUAUCCCGUCCAUCCUGAUUCAGAUUACUGGAAGAACAGAAGCGAUAUAACUUGAGCUGCACAGUUAUCAGUUUGACUCAACCUUGGCACACUCAAACACAUCAAAUAAUAAAUCAUUUGUAUUUCCUCUAUAACUAUUUGUUGACGUGAGUCAACCAUAUAGUUUAGGAAUGUGAUCAUGUGAUUGAUUCCUUGUAUAAUUCGGAUUCUUAUUUCCUAUUUUAUGGGACCUCUUGAACAACUAUUUAUUUACCUCCUAGAGAGAAGGAUACGUACAAUUACACCUUAACUUUUAUGUCGGUAUCAGAGGAUGCUUCGGCCCGUCUCUUUCCAAAAACCCUUAAAAACCCCCUCAAGGCAUGCAACUUGCAUCAAGAAUUAUUGCUGGUGUUUGUCACGAACCGAGAAAUCCAACGUCUGUGGCUUUGGAAUAAACAAAGCUACAAAGUCAAAAAAACAUAUCAAAAUAAACCUACAAAUCAGUCCCUGCAAUGACUGAAGACAGAAAAACAAAAACCGGUGAGAUAAUUCCCAUGCAAACUAUGUCUAUUCAAAGUGAGUCUACCAAAAUCAGCGGCCUUCCAUUCAGAUUUAGAUUGAGCGACUCGAAUUUCAAAGUUUAGUCGAAGAUGAUGGAGGUCCAUGCCUCUGGCCUUGGCAAACUGGGGUAUUUGACAGGAAAAACCCCUGUUGUUGCUGAAGACUCGCCUGGAUAUACAAAGUGGGUCAAUGAUCACUGCUAUAGUACGAGGAUGGUUGUUGAAAACCAUGAAGCCCCACCUAUCGAGUCUCUUUAUUGACUUGCCGACAGCCAAAGAUGUGUGGGAAAGUGUAACCCAGAUGUUUUACGACAAUUCAGACGAGUUCCAAUAUUGUGAACUCAGGUGUAGGGCUACGCGAACUAAACAAGACGGUCGUCCAGUAAAUUUGUACUUCACUGAACUCAAAGGAGUAUCGCAAGAUCUUGAUAAAAGGCGCCCUAUCAAGAUGAUAUGCAAAGCAGACCUGCAAAGCCGUAGGGAGGAGCUUUCAAAGGACAGGGUUUACGACUUUGUUGCGGGGUUAGAUCAUGGUUUUGAUCAAGUCAGGAGUGAAAUCCUAAGGAUGAAACCUAUCCCUGGGAUUGAAGAAUGUUUUUAUUUGGUUAGACGUGAAGGCCAGAGACAAACCCCUAUGCUUGAAACAAAAUCUAAAACCACAAGCUCUUCUAUGGUGAUGAUCACCAAGUCCCCAUCAUCAUCAUCCUUUCGUUUAACAUCCGCGGGAACAUCUAGCCCAAAUCGCACCCAAGAAGAUAUUUGACACGCCCCGAUCCCGAUAUUCCUCGAAUACCAAGAUAGGCACGUGCUGGCCGACACCCAAGGGUGACGAAAGCCAUUAAUUGAAUGCAAAUGCUGAGAAUAAGGAAUAGAUAAGGUUUAUAAAUAUAAAAGAAUAAAGAAUAUGCAUUUAAGGAACGUGUUCAGAGCACACAUCUAAUCGAGAAUAUUAGAAGAAUUAACAUAAACAAUUUGAAUGAACACAGAACGGGGUCCUACACCUAGAGGACUCGAAGAUACCGAUGCGGAAGUGUCUGGAUGCCGGGAUUGUACGCCUCGAUUCUAAGUCCUGAAGGGGGCGCAAAACAAACAUGAGUGGACCAAGUUGAUAUAUAUAUAAUAAAACAGUUAUCAACGUACUAACCCCCAGGUUUAUGAAAACAUAUAUAUAAUGAUAAACAUAGGUUUUCCGAAUUCUAGCAUGAUGUGCAGUAUCUCAAAUCAUAAUUCAUAUAUAAUAAUCACUAGUGAAUUGUCCGAUAACCCCCAGGCCCCAUGCCGGCUCCCCGUCUCUGAGCAGACAGUCAGAGGAAAAUACACUUCAGGCCCUAUGCCGGCUCCCCGUCCCUAUGCUAAAUAGCCAGAGGAAACACACUCCAAGCCCUAUGCCAACACCAAACCGUCGCCCGGGACGGACCGGAAUCUAUCCCUACGUCCCAUAGCAGAAAGGACCACUAGGUAAGUACAAAACCAUUGAACAUAUAUAUAUAUUAAAAAACAACUUCAUAGUAUAAAGUCAUCCAUCAUCUAUACUAUAAAGAGGUGUUCGAAACAUGUUCUACAUAUCAUAUCGUCAUCCAUCGGAUAUUCUAUAAGAACAUGGGUUAUAGGAAAAAUAGUAAUAAUUCAAACUAGCCUUAGUAAGCAUGUUAUCUCAAAACGUUUCAUAAAACGUAAUCAUUAAAUCAUGUCUUUCAUGUAUGCAUUUCUACUAUUAAAACAUGCUUUUGAAGGGGUCCACUCACAGUACUUAGCCGCCGAAGAGUCACGCAAACUAACGAACAAGAAAACGUCACCAAUAAUUGCCCCUAAGCACAUAAAGGGUCCAAUUAAUAAAACUCUAUUUUAACAAUUGAAUUGGGAAAACGGACUUCAAAAACGGGUCCAGGACGUCGAAAUUAGCCUAGGAGAGAUCCUGGACGAAAGCCAGAAUGGGCUUGGGGUUUGGGUUUUAAUUAAGCUAAAGGGACUUGGGAAAAGGGCUGAAAGCCCACUUUACAAUUGGCCCUAAGGCCUUACUUCCUAAAACAGAAAAUAAAUAAAAACCUUAAAAAGGUUUCUUGGGUUUGACUAAUGGGCUACGGGCCCUAAAUUCCUAAUGGCCCGAAGGCCUUUAAGGGUCCUAAAACAAUUACAAUUAAAUAAAAUAAUUAAAAGUAAAAUAGGCUAGGGUUUUGGGCUUGGCUCCCCAAACCACACGGGCCUAAGGCCCGCUUAGCAUGGAACCGGCCUGGGAGGCCUGUCUCGCCGGAGCACCACCACCGGAGCUUCACAGCUCCGGCCGACUUCCACACACAACCCUAGACUUCGAUCUAGGUACCAAAACGAAGAGCAAGACGAGGGGAGUAUUUCUAUACCUUCCUUUCGUCGUGGAAUGGACGGAGAUGGCCGGAAAAACCCCCGAGGUCGCCGGAGUUGGGUGUGCUUACACCCGGCUUCGAUUUCGUCCUAUAACCUCCAAAAAUCACGAAUUAACUCCAAUUAAACCUCAAUCUCGCAAGAAUCAAGGACGAAAAGAGAGAAUUAGGGGCUUACCUAACCGGAGAUUGAAAAAUCUCGCCGGAGCUCCUUUUCCGGUUCUCUGGGGUCGCGGGAACGAGAGGGAGAGAGAGAGAGAGCAGGACGCGGUGAUGAAGGGUGAUGGGCUUCCUCGCGCGGGGAGAUGGGUGCGUGCAUGUGUGCGCGGUGCAGAGAAGAGGGAGAGAAGUGAGAGAUGAGAGAGAGCCGAGAGGGAGAGACAGGAAGAAAGAAAAGAAAAACAGAAAAGAAGAAGGAGAAAUUGUUUGGGGUGCUGCCAAGUGGCAGAUUUAGAAAGAAAGGGAUCCAUUUUCAGAUUGGGUAGAUAAAAUGGGACAAAAUUGAUAUAAUUAAAAUGUUUUGGGGUAAUUACAUACAUAUAUUUUUAUAAUUAGAGGGCGGGUGUUACAAUAUUGACAAAGAUAAGCUUCACUGCAACCACUGCAAUGGAACAAGGCACACCGAAGAAACUUGUUUUGAAAUACACACAUACCCAGAAUGGUACUGGGAAAAAAUGAAGCAAUUGAAGGCCAAAAGGAGGAAGUCGGGCCAGGCUGAACUGGUCGAGAGACAGGACCUGGAUCCAACGGGAUUAAAGGCCGAAAUGAAGCAAUUAAUGAGCAAAUGAAUAUCUAAACUGGCCUUAACAAUUUUCAGCAAUAAAAAACAUGUCCCUUUAUCGAAGUUGCAUAAAUUACAGAACCUUGGGAUUAAGGAGGAAUAAAAAGCCCAAAUUCCAAUCAAGAAAAAAAAAAUUGUAUGUAAAUUUAAGCUUUACCUGUAGAUUGGCAGCAGCAAAAGCAUACUGGAUCCAACGGGAGCGAGAACUGGAUGCCCAGCCCUUGACACGUUAUCGAGUGAGUUUAGGGAUCUGGGUUUUGUGUUUGCCGUUGAAUUUUGGAAUGAUCUGGAGAAAUUUGGGUUUUAGGGUUCUAAGGAUUUGAGUGAACCGAAACUGAUUUGGAUGAGCAACUUUUGGUUUCGAUUCGCGGUGGAGCAAGGAUGAAGAGGUGGAGGAGGUAGGAACGAAAGGGUGAGAAAAUUUGGAUAGGCGGGAUUCGGUUUCGUUUCGAAUCAGGACAAGACCACCGAGAAACCUCAUUAGCACUCCACGUGUGCAAAAGGGUUUUUCGUCUUUUUACUGUACCAACUUGAAAUACACAAAGGCAAAUUGAAGAUGGGUAUUUUCGUCUUUACACCGUCGCUUAUGAACAAUGUUUUUUCCAUGGCGCUUUAGUAUAUAUAACUAGCAAAGAAUGUUCAAGAGCAAUGCUGCGGGAUUGAAAAUCAUACAAAAACUUUGUAUCUAGUACUAUUUAUAUACAAAGGAUAAUACUUUAUGUGUAUUACAUACUAUUUACAUACAAAAGAUUUGAUAGUCCUAUUAAAAAUCACACAAAAUCUACAAUCUGACUGAGUUACAUACUAUUUCCAUACAAAAUCUACAAUCUGAUUGAAAUACAUACACUUAAUAUGUGCGUACCCCUCUUGACCUUGAACUCCCCCUACAUAGUUUACAAAAUUUACAGAUUAAAUUAAAUAUAAAAUCCAACUUAUUAAUUAAUUAUCAAAAUCGGAAAAAAAAAAUUAAAAGGGUCAAAAGAGAGAAUAGGAGAGGAGUCAAAUACUAAAAAAUAAAAAGAAAAAAACGAAAAUAAAAUCAAUAAUAAGAUUACAUAAGCACAUUCAAUUUGAUGAUUUGGAAAUUAAAGCAAAGGCCUUUGACCUUCUACGUAGGCCUGGUGUAGACAUUGAAAUUUCGGUGGCAUAAAUGUUAGCCAUUGCAGUAAGAUUACAUUUGUAAACAUUGAAAUUUUGGUGAAAUAAAUGUUGACCAUUGUAUUAAAAUUACAACCUUCAUUCACUUCACCUACAUCAUACACUAAGUUCACCUACAACAUCCACCAAGUUUCACCUACAAACAUCCACCAAGUUUCACCUACAACAUCCACCAAAAUUCACCUACAACAUCCACCAAAACAAAUGGAUGGUGGUGAUUCGUUCCCAAAGCCUAUAAAUAGGCUCAUCCAUCAAAGAAUCAAUAAACCAAUUCACAAAUACAUUUCUCUACUCCCAAAAUGGAAGAGAAUACUCCCCACACAUCCAAAAUCCUUGAAGCUUUGAAACUCUAAAGCUUUCAAGCAUCCAACCUCCCAAAUUCAAGCAAAUCCCGAAGGAUCAAGAAAGCCCUCUUCGUUCUUCGUCAAAUCCUCCUUCAAGAUCAAGCCCUAACGGCCCUUGAAGAAAUUUCUCCUUCAAGAUCAAGCCCCAACGGCCCUUGAAGAACUUCCACCAAUUCAAGAUCAAGUCUCGACGGCCCUUGAAGAAAGUGUUCAACAAAUCCACACAACUGUUCAUCCUAAGAUCAAGCCCCGACGCCCCUUUUUGGAUCAACAACAUCACCAAAUCCACAUAAAAUGUUCAUCCUAAGAUCAAGCCCCAACGGCCAUUUGGAUCAACAACAUCAACAAAUCCACACAACUGUUCAUCCUAAGAUCAAGCCCCAACGGCCCUUUGGAUCAACAACAUCAAUAAAUCCACACAACUGUUCAUCCCAAGAUCAAGCCCCGACGGCCCUUGGAUCAACAAUCAUCCAUCUUCAAGAUCAAGCCCCGACGGCCCUUGGAUCAACCAUCCACCAAUUCAAAAUCAAGCCCCGACGGCCCUUGAAGAAAGCACCAUCGUUCAUCAUCCGUUCAUCCAAGAUCAAGCCCCGACGGCCCUUGGAUCAACAACAUCAACAAAUCCACACAUCCAACCGUUCUUCAAGAUCAAGCCCAAAAGCCCUUGAAGAUCCGUUCAUCACCGUUAUUCAAGAUCAAACCUUAACGGCCCUUGAAGAAACACUCAUCCUCAAGAUCAAGCCCCAAUGGCUCUUUGAAGAUCCGCUCAAAUCCACCUUCAAAGAUCAAGCCCACGGCCCCUUGAAGAAACUUCCAACAGUUCAUCCAAGAUCAAGCCUCGACGGCCCUUGGAUCAACGAAACAUCCAUAAAUCAACACCUUACGGAGAUCGAAUCAGAAGAUCAAAAUUGAGAGAGAUUGUAACCCAAAUCAAAAUCACAAAAUAUUAUUUUGUGCACGUUGUUCUUGUCUUUUUCGUUUCAGGAAUUUUCCGUGUUCACAAAUUGGCACGCCCGGUGGGAUAAUCUCUACCUCUCAUCUCUUUCUCCGUUCAAGGAAUCCAAAUCCACCUUCAAAGAUCAAGCCCACGGCCCCUUGAAGAAACUUCCAACAGUUCAUCCAAGAUCAAGCCUCGACGGCCCUUGGAUCAACGAAACAUCCAUAAAUCAACACCUUACGGAGAUCGAAUCAGAGGAUCAAAAUUGAGAGAGAUUGUAACCCAAAUCAAAAUCACAAAAUAUUAUUUUGUGCACGUUGUUCUUGUCUUUUUCGUUUCAGGAAUUUUCCGUGUUCACAAAUUGGCACGCCCGGUGGGAUAAUCUCUACCUCUCAUCUCUUUCUCCGUUCAAGGAAUCCAAACACACCUCAAAGUCAAUAGCAUCAAGCAAGGGACAAGCCGUUCUCGCAAUCACUGAGGGAAUGAUCCUAAGCACUUCUGCCGCAAAUGGACAAUCCAUUAGCGCCACAACCGCUCCUCAACAUGCCACUUCAAAGUUGGUGCCGCUAAAAGAGCAAAUGGAGCAUCAAAGGUGUGAGUCUGUCAUCAACCUGACCUCGCUGGGGGCACCGAAGCAUGCUGCUGAGGCACACAAGAUGACAUCCCAAAACAACCAACGACGUUCUUCGUCAGCAUCUUGGAUGUCUAAAGGAAAGUCACGUCUAGUGGUUGCACAAGUCAUGACCAUCAGCGUUACCUCCAUCGAAGAACAACUGGCUCAAAUGAAUGAAGCAAUCGCAAGGCUAACCCGAACUGUGGAAGAAACAGACUUGCAAAUCGCUGCACUCGUCAGUCGACUGGAGCCACAGGACGGCGAGAACCCUAACCCAGAAGAUGAGUCUACGGUAGAGAGAAUCGAUGUGAAGCUGGAGCCAGACCAAGAAGCGGCACUCAUGGGAUCUCUUUCUAUCCAGCAGUUGCAAGAGAUGAUUGCCAGCACCGUCAAGGCACAGUUCGAAGGGAGCUCAAAUACCUCUAGGUUGUACUAAAAGCCUUAUUCAAAGAAGAUUGAUGCCCUAAAGAUGCCGAGGGGAUAUCAACCACCAAAGUUCAUGCAGUUUGAUGGAAAAGGAAACCCAAAGCAGCACGUUGCACAUUUCGUCGAAACUUGCAACAAUGCGGGGACGGAGGGAGACUACCUUGCCAAGCAGUUUGUGCGCUCGCUAAAAUGAAAAGCCUUUGAAUGGUACACGGACCUAGAGCCUGAGUCCAUCAACAGCUGGGAACAGUUGGAAAGGGAAUUCCUCAACCGCUUCUACAGCACCCGCCGCACUGUGAGCAUGCUAGAGCUAACGAGCACAAAGCAGUGGAAGGACGAGCCAGUCUAUUUACUACUCCAGCAUAUCAUUCAUGGAAGAUAUGGCGGACACUCUUCAAGCCUUCCUGUUAUCCUCGUGUUAUAAAGAACAGUAGCUCAUCGGGUACAGCUACUUCAAUCGUGAGGCAUGAUGCAUCUCCAAGGUCAGAUUCUCAAUUAUUAAGUUGUUUAUAUUGAUAAUUGAUUUUUUGUGUAGCCGGUGGCCGAUAUUCGACUUUAAUUACAUAUCGAUUCAAUGGCAUUCAUAGAACCCGAUCUAAUAUGUGCGGACCGAAUACUUGCCUUACCCCGCCACAAAGCUGCCGCUCUAUUCCCGAACGAUUAUGGAAAGUUGUGUGAGCAUCGCCCAUAAUUGGGUAAGAAAAUGUACACCUGCAAGUCGCAACCGUGCAGAACGUACAUGAUACAGUACGAUUAUACGACAAAGAGAGUGCUUCGAGAACACAAAAGGUUGAGUGUGUGCGAAGGAAAGUGUCCUCCGUGGAUAUACCAUACUCUCAACGAUUUAUCAGAGACUACAUGACCAGUCAACACAUUUCUGUACCUCGUUCAAAUGAUGACAAGACUCUGCGUACUACUAGCAUCUGAACUAACUUGUUAUGUUAUUAUAUGAUUUGAAGUUUUCUUAGCCGUGUCUUAGGCAUGGAAAGAUCGCAUGUUCUUGGUUUCCUGCUCUCAAAUGCUGAGAUACUCAUGAGAAGCUUCCAUACUUUCUCAAGGUGUUUGUGAGAGAAGGUGUUGUUAUGCCGUGGACCUACUUAUUUACCUGGUACUCCAAAUUCAGUUUUCGCGCUACCAGAAUCUUCUGCUGAAAAGGAGUCGUGAUAUCCUGUUCUCUGAACAUAUCACGUUUUCCUAGAGCGUUAUGUGACGAAGCAAACGAGCAUACUUGCAAAUCCAAGAAUGGGGAAUUCCAUUUGGUUAUCAGAAACUAAGAUGUUCCGCCUUAUCAAUCAGACAGAAAGUAAUGGUUCAUCCUCCAAGCUUCAGUGGAGAUUCCCCCGCCCAUACUGUUAACUCUCAAGCCCUGCGACAAUGGACUGUCAGCGGCAUGUGCUUUAAGCCUUUUAAGACAAUACUUUCCCGUAUUCAGAAGUCCGGGCUGUUGAGUUGGGAGUUUACAGAUGAUCUAUUUACAUUUUGAAAGAGUCUAUUGCAUGAAUGCGAUAUUGCAGGUGUUGAGUGAGAGCCAAAAAACGAAGCAAAGCGGAAGGAUCGAAAGCUUUUGGGGAUCUCGCUUGAGUAUAAGACUAGUUCUUGCAAGUUAAGCCGAGAGAGUAUUCACUGAUUGGUGUCCGGUGUACGUGAGAUUGCUAGCCGAACUAACGCAAGGGUAUGGUGUAUCCACUUUGAGUUCAUUGGUAGAUAGGUGUGGUUUGUUUGCUGCAUUGCUUCAACUAUUUUUUUCUUAUGGGUACUUCUCCAAGGAGAGGAUUUCGUGAAGCCUAAUGCUUCUGCGCCAAGGCUUCAUGAGCAAGCCUGCGAAGAAGAUUUCAAAUCAUUUGUUGCUGUUCUUUUCCUUUCAUUAUUUAAUGAAGGAAUGUAGCAUCCAUAUGGGGGACUGUCCUACAGUAUCAGAAGCUGCCAAAUGCCUUGUCCUCCUCCUAGUAGGCCCGUUCCGGUUUGUAGCAUAGUCAUUCAAUCAGGUCAUCCACUGGUUGAGGGCACGCCUCUCACUCUGGACUUAGCUGAUUAUCCUCAGCCCUUUAACAAGUGUUGCAGUUCUUUGUCGAGCACGAAGCCGAGAAAAGAAUCCGAGACUAUUCUCGAACGUUUGUUUCUGAUCUUGAUCCAUUAGGCAAGUUUAGCUGCUGUAGAAGAGUUUCUUUGGGCUCUCGGGAUCACCAGCCGCGAGGGGAAUCUGGUUCAGAGCCUGCCUGCCCUCUGCUGGAAUAACUCGGGGAAUCUGGAACUCACACCGCACAGGUGCUCGUGCUUCAUCUCUGGUCUACUUCAAAUCUGCUUCACCACUCGUUCGCCAUUCAACCGAUCCAGAAACAUCUGUGAAUAUAGGAGAUACAGCUAGGAGGGAACCACACAAAGGAGUAGCAAGAGCACAAGACUCAUCAAAGGAAGGGUAAGCUGUUUGAAGCCUUCUCAGGAUGAAGCAAGAGGACCUCAAACAGAAAUGCAGCUACGUAGACGGGCACUCUUUUGAUAAAAGAUGUUCAAACUGAAGCCACAAAUGGGGACACUACUCUGAGGUUGUUACUGAUACCAAAGUGACAUGUAAUUAUUAUUAUUAUUAUUAAUUUGUGAAUAUGCGUGUUUGGGUUAUUUUGUUCAUGCUAACAAAGACACUUCUAGUAGUACUUUUUCACUAAGCAAUCUUCUUUCUUGCAUAUCUGUAUGGGUUUUGAUAUGGCAUUGGGGUUCCCGAUAGGAUUCAGUUUACAUUCCCCAAGCUUAUUGUGUUGAUUAUCAAUUAAAAGAUUAAUUCUAACGCGACAGAGAAUCAUGGUUCAUUGUUUCUGAUGGGCUACUUUAUCGACAAGGGUUUAUUGGGUAUUUGGUGAACCAAACCUUGCUAAGGGCAACUUUAAGCGAGAUGGGUAUGUGGGGUAAGCAAGUGGACAUUAACUUUGGUGUCCCUAUAAUGAGUUAGUCCUCCACGCGUUUGCGCUCUUACAGCACUUUAUCUUUUUAAAUUUCUUUAUAUUGGUAAAGUUGGUUGGCAAUUCACUUCUUAGAUAUCUCAUCUCGGUAUGAGGUUUGUUUAAUACCACUAACAACCUCCUCCUUCUAGUGAGACGUAUUUUCUUUUUUCGAAAUUUUUUUUGGUUGAGUAAUCGCUGCCAUAGUCAUCCAAUCUGCCUUUCCAAUACAAUUUCUGUUGAACAGUCAUUGAUGUUGUCUUCUGUAGGAUGAGGAAUCUGAUAAUAUCGCCUGUGAGAUGGGAUGAAUUGUUUAGAAGAUGAUGAAAUAUCUCAGAUGACGAAGAUGUGACCUAUUAUGUAUGUUAUUGGAGUCUUUAAUUUUUAUGUCCUGAACAGGAGUAUUGGAUACUUUGAGUUUUUAUUGUUGCUAUUAUUGGGUACUUUUGGCAGGUUCUAAGAGAUGAUCUCUGGUCCCGCUUUGCAUGCCGGGAUAAAGUUACAACCUGCAUGUCAUAAAUUGGGAGAACUCAACUAAUGAGGAUGCUACAUUCUAAGCUUUCCAGCCAGCAACGUGAACAAUCUACUAACCCCAGCUUGUCUUCAGUAGCCAUCAGUCACUCCGACAAAAGGCUUGUGCUGUGAAAAUCUCAUCAUAGAAGCGCUCAUAAAGCAAUCCAGACGCAUGCUACAGUCGUAAGAGGCUGCCAGAUCUGCUGAGCGAUAGGCUAAUAGUAUUCUGCUUAAUUAGGUUCAAUAUAGACUUGCAUGUGAAUUUUGCUCUUGCCCCAUGGCUGGGCUUGGAUCUGCAGCAGGGGCAUUAGGGGAGGCAGAGAUAGAUCAAGGACGUCCUAUUUUUGUCAUUCUAGUGAUCCUCCUAAGUUGAUUUUUACUUUCUGGAGGGGACAGCUUAAUAGGCUCUGACAUCAUAUCGGCUAUUCAGAGGACAGCUUGUGCAGAUAGGUAGAUGAUGAAAGUAUGCUGGAGUGAUUUUGUAUCAGUAAGGUUGCAGGCUAUGGAGUGAUAUUUACACUAUCACUACCAGGGCCAGAACAUUCCAAAACUGCAGGCAUUCGUUUGUUGAGAAGGGCAUAACCAAGUAUCCAUACCCCAACACCUGCAUCACAUGAUCUGGACAGCUCAAAUUUCUGCGACUUAACAAAUAUUUCUUGCACCUUCACACUUGCAUUCGCAGAUUCCAUUCGAAUUCAAUUGCAUCGAAUGUCACUUGUCUAUGCGCUCCGUAGUAUAUAUAGAAUGCCAGGAGUCGAGAAGGCUUUUUGACAGCUUGGUGAUGGACUCAAUGUCUUAAGCAUAAACACAUACAAUAAUAUGCUACCACAUAGGCAUCUUACGUUCUCCCCCACAUAAUAGAUGCAAUCGGACUGGAGGCGGCUGAGCGCCAUAAACCUGCGUAGGUCAUCUUAGAGGGCUUGGAACUUUAGCACUACCUUCCAAUCCUCGCCUGAAGCUCAGAAUGCAACAGUUUCCGACAUUUUUGCGGAGGUAAAGUUUUGGAAUUGAUGACUUGAGUACAACUUGGUGCUAGAGUUUUUCCUUGAGGAAUUUAUGUAACGAACGCUAAAUCUACGUCGCAAAAUUGAGAUGAUCGCCGGCCAAAAAUUCAUAGCGACACAAUGCCCUUGUCAGUAGUCGUCCAGCCAGUGGGCGCGCGAAGUCUUCACUUCUUGAUCUUUGUGGUUACCAUGUCUUUACACCAUCACAUGAGAUCCUUAUCUUUCAUAUGUUCACCCUUUUGAGACUCGGAACAACGUAUGUCUCAUGAGUUCUCCCAUGCGCAUAUUAAGAGUAUGUCCCUCAGCCGGAACCGUCCCUGUACCUCUCCCUAUAUAUAUUCCGAGCACCAGCAGUGCUGACUGGUCCAUGCACAUUAACAAAAUUUCACAAAUUCUCCUCCCCGCAAUGAACCAGAAUGAGUCUAAACUGGGUGAGCAUAGGCACAAGAAGAAGUCUCACCUUGGGGCUAGCAAAGUCGACGAGUCUAUUUUACACACGAAACCGGAUUUUGGAUUCUGCCUGCCCAAGACAGUUAACUGAGCCAGAGAUGAUUGCAUUCCCCAUCUCCAGAAAAUCUCUGUCGCUGAAGUAAGCAGAUGAAUCUCUUUAUGAACUGGCGUGGGCCACUGAGCCUGAUGGGUCCAACUGCUCUUUAGGCUUUCAGUCAAUCCAGAGCCUAAACAACCUAUAAUGAACCACAAGCUCACUGGUGCGCAGCCCUACCAAGAGUAAACUAGUUGGCAAUUGCGAUAAGAACUGUGCAUAAUUCUUCAAAUGUACGCACAAAAUCAAUCGAAGUGCAAAUGAGGAAUGUUACUGUUAAAACUCUCAUUCAAGAUGGCUCACUCAAAUAUGCAAAUUACGGUCGACAAUAUGCCCUCAAAUGCUGAUCCCUCUUGUGUGUUGUCCCUUCUCCUGGAAUCCGAAAGCCGUUAGUUCGUAGCUCCUGUUAAUUGCCAGUUUUUCCAUACAGAAACAUUCAAGAAGUUCGAAGGUUCAAAGUCAAUAUACACUAAAUUAAGAAUUAGAGAAAAAAUAUAAAGUUUUAUUAGAAUGGAAAGUGCAAUUUCUAGUGUACAAAAAUUAGUAAUAAAUAAUGCACGUGAAAUAGUCACUAUUCGUAAGUUUACAUAUAGAAAAACAGACUAAAUGAAGAACAACCCUACAAUAACCAACCAGAAUUUGUUUAAAGUUUUGCUGGUCAGGCCCAGAUAGAAUAAGUUAAGAGAGAAAUAUAAAGUAGACGCUUUCUUAUUUUAUUUUUUUCUCAUGAUAAUCAAUUUACACCUAAUAAAUUUUAUUAAUGAUAAGUAGAUAUCUUAUAAGAAUAUAAAAUAAAUUUUCAUAUAUCAAAUAUUAACAAUUUUGAGAGGGAUGCUUAAAAAAGAAUUAAACCCAAUUUUCCAUCUCCUGAUCUAUCUUCCCUCCUUCAGGAAUGCGCUUCGACUUAACCACUCAUAUCCCUUGGCUAUCCGUGUCUCUCACAAAUGCAUAGUUGAAGACUUGAGCAAGAGUGAACAUCGUUAUAUAUGAAGCAUACACACUAACUCAGACAGAACUUCCUUCAGUGCUAGACGUGAGAAAUGAAACCCUCAUAUAAUAGUUAGAAUCCAAAAUUAUUACAUUAGGAGCUUUUCAAUUGACGCAGUACGAGCCUAGACGAUGCGGCCAUAUUGGUGCUGAACAAACCUCUGAAAUCAAUGCCCUUGAUUUUGAAGCCCGAAGCUCAAAACUUGGCGGAGUAGCGCAUCAGAUUCCUGCAAUUUCUGAGUGUUAAUACCUCUCGCGUUCUGUCUAUGAGAUUUGUUUAUCCCAACUUAGAUCACCUUGGCGAGCUUUAAUCUGCAGACUAUUAUUGAGUCUUUCCUGCGUUCGACCUCCUCGAAACCUAACUCGCUGGUGUGAAAUACUGCAAUGAUAUUCUUCAAACUGCGAUGCAGCCGCUGAAAUUGAUUCAAAACUUUUGGUACUUAGUUCUUCGGUGCAUUAAUAAUUUGGCUGUAGGGCUUUCAUUAUUUUAGGACUUUCUAUUCCUGCAUCAACGUACUAUCUUGGAGCUCAAUGGGAUGAAUCUCUCGAUAAUAUGGUCGCCUAUCUCUAGAUCCGGACUAUUGGUGUAAAAUACUGAUUUAAUCUCGGGUAAUUUCUAUAGGUUAGUUAGACACAAAUGGUCAAUUACACGUUGGCCAGGACCACGCGCUAGUACAAGCAUACAUUUCAUAAAUUCUCUAAGCCAUGCGUCGAUAGAGUCACCCCAGCACAGUGCAAGUAUCUUAAGGAUAUGAAUACUAAGUAGGCAAUAUGAAAGUGUGAAGCAAUGUGUGGGCCCAUAUGGUUAAUCUGAGAAUAGACAGACUCACCUCAGGUUCACCGAGUUUUCUAAAUCAAAAAUCGGGGUCGGUCGGUAUGUUGUCUUCUAGUAUACUAUUUUCUAAAGCGUUUGUUGAAAUAAAGACACUGACCGGUGAUAUAGCAGGAGCAAUUCAAGAUCUAAUGAAGUGCAGGAAUGAAAUUUUUAACAGAGGCUGACAACUCAGAGAGUGUGAGUCUUUCUUGUAUACAACGAAUACUGAGCGAUUCGACCUUUCUAUAUAAAUGUAUCAAGCCAUUCACGACGGGUGACUCAAAAAGAUGUCGUAAGACCGUCUGGAGCUCCGAGAAUUCGGAUGAUGAGGACAUAUUUCAAAUAAUACUCAAGAGGGCUAAGUCAGGAGAACACUUGAAAAGAAAGUUAUUCUGCACUUUUCCAUGCUAUAUCUGUGCCAACUGCAAGUUUAAACAUUCCCGCUUACAAUACGCGCCCAAAUCAGCUCUGAUGGAAAAAGUUACUUUGCGGGGCACGAAUGUUUGUAAAGAGCUCGCAUGGAAAUUCGCGCAGUGAGUUUAUCGAAGAAGCGAGCGUGUACUUAUUCAUCGCUACGUUCAGCACCUGGUCCAUCUCUGGGCGAAAACUCAUCUUACGGGUAUUUAAUCGAAAGUGAGGCAAUUUAUCAGAGGCGUUUAUGAAGCCUGUCUGUCACAAGCCCAAGUAAGUAAAUCUCAAGAACACGCACCUGGUCGUGCUCAGUCUUUGCAGGUACUGGCGUUCGCUGAGACACACGUGUCCUAACUACACUUUGCUUCAGCUCUUUUAGAUUACAUAUUUGGAGCUAAAAUUGCGUACUUCACUACGGACAGAGAGUUUGUCGGAGGAUUUUUCUGGAUAUGUAAAUAUAAUGAAGUAUAUAUUGAGUCUAAGCUUCCUACGCUCAUCUAUUGGCUGUUUACCGACAAACCGCGUGUGAAAGUAGAUAUAGUUCAGGUUUACCCAAUACCUGAUGUAUUAAAGUAAUGUUUUAUCUCUUUCUCUGUGUUACGUAAGCCUGUUGUCCAACCUCUCUACCCCUCCGUCCAAUAUGCAAUGUCUGAACAUACUAUUACUGCUUAAUCUUCAUAUCUACUCGAGAAUGACGCGCUUUUCUCUCUCCCUCAAAGACGUAUAAAGAACCUUCGUCGGAGUGAUGAUCAGUUCAGUCUUUGAAUCUUUAGUUGUCACUUUGGGUGUCCUCUGCUGCAAAAUACUAUUAUCGACUCACUCUCCUAGCGCACGAGAGGUAUCAUCAGUUGAGAUCAACCAGAGUAUGGUUUAAAUUGCUCUUUCUGAAUCGAGCCAUAAUUCUUACAAUCAUGUCUUUACUCCCUUUCCCAUUCUCUCUGUUUUCCGCUUUUUACUCUUACCCUGUACAAACUUCUCACAGGAUAGAGAGGUCAAAUACAUAUAUGCCAGGAAUACUCUCCCAGCUCUCCAAUAUACUUCGGACGACCAACAUUAUUUCCUGCGUCCACAUGAGUUGGACUAUCUGGACUGUUAUCGAGGUACAAGUCGGGCAAGAGGUGAAAAUUUGUGGAGUAGCAUGCAGACAGUUAAUGUGGAUACAAUCGUAGCAUGACUAUCACGCUAAAAUAAGUAGAAAUUACCACGAAGAAGAUAAUGCUUAUUAACUAUCUAGCGAACAAGCAUUGCCUCAAGCCAUAAGUGAGUGUUUUGAGCUGAGAUCUGUUGAUAUUCUAAUGACUGAAACUUCGCUCUACAUUCUGCUGAGAGGACGAGAGACGAGACCGAACAAUUUGGCAGUGACCUGUUGCACGAUGAAUCAGUCAUAUCAGUCAAAGAGGAGUUCUGAGGCGAAGAACUCAUGCAGGAAGAUGCUUAUGGCAAUGACCAACCAGCCUCGCCAGAAAUGGAGACUCCAUAGAGCGAGGAAAAUGGAUAACAUUCUUAAAGCUAUGGAGGACAUAGUGACAACAACAUAUCAUCGUUCUGUGCUCGAAAUCCUUCAAUGUGCGCGAGUGCGCUUCUCUGUUCAAAGAAUUUGCAAAAGUUGUUCUAGUUCUAUUGAUCAUCAGUGUAGCACAGUUCUUCUUGUGUUUAUAAAUUUGUAGGUUUGCGUCGAUGAUUAGAUAGCUCGGUUUGUGGAACCUCCAACGACUCUCAUGGGGUCGACUUGACUAGGCGUUGUUAAGGGCUGACAGCUUUCUCACCAACCCUUAAUCAAGCCUUAAGAUUUCAAGUCACCAACUGGCAAGAAGAGAGGCCCACGCAUCAAUUCUUGACAUAGAGCCAUCUUACCUUUGACGCACACAAGUCUGGUCUCAUUGACUUGGUGAAUUAAUGCAGAACCUCUGGUUGUAAUCUCACAGACACACUAAUCGGUUCACCGUUUCUUCGUGCCUUGUCUUGUGGCCCUUUCGAUUUAACCUCUCUCAGAAGAAUCAAUGCAUCAGACCCUGAAGAAGUUUCCGGCCAAAUUCAAGAUCAAGCCUCGACGGCCCUUGAGGAAAUCACAAGUCCGAUUCAAGAUCAAGCGUCCACCAUAUUUGAAUCAAAUCCAGUUCAAGAAUAAGCUGUGGAAAAUCAACAAUUGGAGGAAUCCAAAAAAUCCUCCAACCCAGUUCAAGAUCAAAGCUGUGGAAAGUCAACAAAGCGCAAAAACAAAUACGUGCCGAUUCAUCCACUACCAAAACCAAAGAUCAUCUACCACAUAAAGCUCCUUGUGGUCCAAUUUCAACCUUCAAGAUCAAGCCUCGACGGCCCUUGAAGAAAUUUCGAACAAAGUCCAAGAACAAGCCUCAACGGCCCUUGAAGAAAUCUCCAGCCCAAUUCAAGAUCAAGCCUCGAUGGCCCUUGGAUUGACAACUACAUUAACGGACUUCAAAACGCAUCUCCUACAUGUAACAAGCACAUGUAUACAACGCGCCUUGAAGUGGGGGCAUUUGUAGACAUUGAAAUUUCGGUGGCAUAAAUGUUAGCCAUUGCAUUAAGAUUACAUUUGUAAACAUUGAAAUUUUGGUGAAAUAAAUGUUGACCAUUGUAUUAAAAUUACAACCUUCAUUCACUUCACCUCACCUACAUCAUAGUUUCACUACAAGUUCCACAGUUUCACCUACAAACAUCCACCAAGUUUCACCUACAACAUCCACCAAAAUACAAUCACCUACAACAUCCACCAAAACAAAUGGAUGGUGGUGAUUCGUUCCCAAAGCCUAUAAAUAGGCUCAUCCAUCAAAGAAUCAAUAAACCAAUUCACAAAUACAUUUCUCUACUCCCAAAAUGGAAGAGAAUACUCCCCACACAUCCAAAAUCCUUGAAGCUUUGAAACUCUAAAGCUUUCAAGCAUCCAACCUCCCAAAUUCAAGCAAAUCCCGAAGGAUCAAGAAAGCCCUCUUCGUUCUUCGUCAAAUCCUCCUUCAAGAUCAAGCCCUAACGGCCCUUGAAGAAAUUUCUCCUUCAAGAUCAAGCCCCAACGGCCCUUGAAGAACUUCCACCAAUUCAAGAUCAAGUCUCGACGGCCCUUGAAGAAAGUGUUCAACAAAUCCACACAACUGUUCAUCCUAAGAUCAAGCCCCGACGCCCCUUUUGGAUCAACAACAUCACCAAAUCCACAUAAAUGUUCAUCCUAAGAUCAAGCCCCAACGGCCAUUUGGAUCAACAACAUCAACAAAUCCACACAACUGUUCAUCCUAAGAUCAAGCCCCAACGGCCCUUUGGAUCAACAACAUCAAUAAAUCCACACAACUGUUCAUCCCAAGAUCAAGCCCCGACGGCCCUUGGAUCAACAAUCAUCCAUCUUCAAGAUCAAGCCCCGACGGCCCUUGGAUCAACCAUCCACCAAUUCAAGAUCAAGCCCCGACGGCCCUUGAAGAAAGCACCAUCGUUCAUCAUCCGUUCAUCCAAGAUCAAGCCCCGACGGCCCUUGGAUCAACAACAUCAACAAAUCCACACAUCCAACCGUUCUUCAAGAUCAAGCCCAAAAGCCCUUGAAGAUCCGUUCAUCACCGUUAUUCAAGAUCAAACCUUAACGGCCCUUGAAGAAACACUCAUCCUCAAGAUCAAGCCCCAAUGGCUCUUUGAAGAUCCGCUCAAAUCCACCUUCAAAGAUCAAGCCCACGGCCCCUUGAAGAAACUUCCAACAGUUCAUCCAAGAUCAAGCCUCGACGGCCCUUGGAUCAACGAAACAUCCAUAAAUCAACACCUUACGGAGAUCGAAUCAGAUGAUCAAAAUUGAGAGAGAUUGUAACCCAAAUCAAAAUCACAAAAUAUUAUUUUGUGCACGUUGUUCUUGUCUUUUUCGUUUCAGGAAUUUUCCGUGUUCACACCUGGCAAUUCCUGACACGACCUGAUAAUCCGACACGACACGACACAAAAUUAACAGAUGUUCGGGUCGACACGAUAACGAAUCGGGUGUUAUCGGGUAACCCGAUAAGCAACUGUUAAGAUAACGGGUUAGUUCGAGUAUACAUGUGGAUAACACGAUAAGCACCUGUUAAUAAUUUUAUAACGCUAAAAAAUACUAUAAUAAUUAUAUAUAUUAAUUUAACAAUUUUAUACCCCUAAAAAGUUUAAAACUAUAAUAAUUAUAUAUAUAUAUAUUAAAUUAACUAUAAUAAUUAUAUAUACUAUAAUAAUUAUACCCCCAAAAUAUUAACUAAAAUAAUUAUAAUAAUUAUAUAUACUAUAAUAAUUAUACCCCCAAAAUAUUACUAUAAUAAUUAUAUAUAUAUAUAUAUAUAUUAAGUUUUAAAUUAAAUUUAUACCCCUAAAAACUAUAAUAAUUAUACGUACAAAAUAAAUAGAUUUAAAUCUACAUAAUAUAUAUAUAUAUACACACCAUUGAACUUGAUGGAAUACACGAAACUAAUUUCAACGAUCCAACCAUUAAACUUGUUUGUAUAUGCUUCGAGAUCGCAUCAGCAAAAAAUUGCAAAAAACAAACAUUUAGAGAUCAAGUAACGAGACAAAACUUUUCGACGGUUAUAAAACAAAAAAUUACGAUUUAACAGUUAUUUUAACUCCGAUUUUGAUAUUUUUUACAGCUACACUCGUUGACCAUAUAUGAAUACAAUGAAUGAAUUCGAUUUUCAAUUUAAAAUAUUUACACUAGUGGAUACUACAAAAUUUUAUGUUAUACUUAAUGAAAAUAUAAAUAAACUCUAAGUGUUAGUGAAUCUAUCGUUUUGAUGAGAUACAAACUCUAUGAAACUAAUUUUAACGAUCCAACCGUCAAACUUGUUUGUAUAUGCUUCGAGAUCACAUAUGCCAAAAAUCACAAAAAAAAAACAAUCAGAGAUUAAGUAAUGAGACAAAACGUUUCGACGGUUAUAAAACAAAAAAUCACGAUUUAACGGUUAUUUUAACUCCGAUUUUGAUGAUUUUUUACAACGACACUCCUUGACCCUAUACGAAUUCAAUGAAUGAAUUGGAUAUUCAAUUUAAAAUAUUUACACAAGUGGAUAUCACAAAAUCUUAUGUUAUACUUAAUGAAAGUAUAAAUAAAAUCUAACUGUUAGUGAAUCUAUCGUUUUGAUGAGAUAUGAAUUCUAUGAACCUAAUUUUAACAAUCCAACCGUCAAACUUGUUUAUAUAUGCUUCGAGAUCGCAUACGCCAAAAAUUACAAAAAACAAACAUUCAGAGAUCAAGAAAUGAGACAAAACAUUUCGACGGUUAUAAAACAAAAAAUCAUGAUUUAACGGUUAUUUUAACUCCAAUUUUGAUGAUUUUUUACGACUACACUCAUUGACCCUAUAUGAAUACAAUGAAUGAAUUUGAUCGUCAAUUUAAAAUAUUUACACAAGUGGAUACCACAAAAUCUUAUGAUACACUUAAUGAAAGUAUAAAUAAACUCUAAGUGUUAAUGAAUCUAUCGUUUUGAUGGGAUACGAAUUCUAUGAAACUAAUUUUAAAAAUCCAACCGUCAAACUUGUUUGUAUAUGCUUCAAGAUCGCAUACGCCAAAAAUCACAAAAAACAAACAUUCAGAGAUCAAGUAAUGAGACAAAACUUUUCGACGGUUAUAAAACAAAAAAUCAUGAUUUAACGGUUAUUUUAACUCCGAUUUUGAUGAUUUUUUACAACUACAAUCUUUGACCCUGUACGAAUACAAUGAAUGAAUUUGAUCGUCAAUUUAAAAUAUUUACACAAGUGGAUACCACAAAAUCUUAUGUUAUACUUAAUGAAAGUAUAAAUAAACUUUAAGUGUUAGUGAAUCUAUCGUUUUGAUAUGAUACGAAUUCUAUGAAACUAAUUUUAACGAUCCAACCGUCAAACUUGUUUGUAUAUGCUUCAAGAUCGCAUAUGCCAAAAAUCACAAAAAACAAACAUUUAGAAAUCAAGUAAUGAGACAAAACUUUUUCGACGGUUAUAAAACAAAAAAUCAUGAUUUAACGGUUAUUUUAACUCCGAUUUUGAUGAUUUUUUACAACUACACUCCUUGACCCUAUACGAAUACAAUGAAUGAAUUUGAUCGUCAAUUUAAAAUAUUUACACAAGUGGAUACCACAAAAUCUUAUGUUAUACUUAAUGAAAGUAUAAUUAAACUCUAAGUGUUAAUGAAUCUAUCGUUUUGAUGCGAUACGAAUUCUAUGAAACUAAUUUUAACGAACCAACCGUCAAACUUGUUUGAUAUGCUUCGAGAUCGCAUACGCCAAAAAUCACAAAAAACAAACAUUCAGAGAUCAAGAAUUGAGACAAAACUUUUCGACGAUUAUAAAACAAAAAAUCACGAUUUAACGGUUAUUUUAACUCCGAUUUUGAUGAUUUUUUCAACUACACUCCUUGACCCUAUACGAAUACAAUGAAUGAAUUUGAUCAUCAAUUUAAAAUAUUUACACAAGUGGAUACCACAAAAUCUUACGUUAUACUUAAUGAAAGUAUAAAUAAACCCUAAGUGUUAGUGAAUCUAUCGCUUUGAUGGGAUAUGAAUUCUAUGAAACUAAUUUUAACGAUCCAACCGUCAAACUUGUUUGUAUAUGCUUCGAGAUCGCAUAUGCCAAAAAUCACAAAAAACACACAUUCAAAGAUCAAGUAAUGAGACAAAACUUUUCGACGGUUAUAAAACAAAAAAUCACGAUUUAACGGUUAUUUUAACUCUGAUUUUGAUGAUUAUUUACAACUACACUCCUUGACCCUAUACAAAUACAAUGAAUGAAUUUGAUCUUCAAUUUAAAAUAUUUACACAUGUGGAUACCACAAAUCUUAUGUUAUACUUAAUGAAAGUAUAAAUAAACUCUAAGAGCAAGUCCACCCCUAAGGACUUUGCGCCAGCACCCAGCGUAUUUAUCCACCCAAGUGAACAGUAAUAGACCCCAAUGAACAGUAAUAGGCUAAAGCAGCUCCACCCCUAAAAAUGGACUGGCACCCAGCCCAUCUAAUAUUAUAUUAUUUUAUUCAUAUCAAUUAAUAUUUUAUCAUUUAAUUUAUUUUUUCUUCCUUUCUUUGUCCGGUCCUCACCCUUUUAUUCUCUCUCUCUCUCUCUCUCUCUCUCUCUCUCUCUCUCUCUCUCUCUCUCUCUUUUCCAGCUCACUCCCGUGAGCUCUCUCUCUCUCUCUCUCCUUUUUCUCCAUGUUUUCUUCUUCAAAUGAGCACCCAGCACCUGAAAUGGACCUCUUCCCCCAAAAAUGGGAGGUCGCCGUGGAGGUGCUCCACACCAACGGUUGGGAUCUCGCCGGAGCUCCACACAAACGCUCACAGGCACCUCGUUGUCGUCUCCUCACCGGAGCUCGCCAUGGAGGUGCUCCACACCCACGGAGUCGGAUCUCGCCGUGGAGGUGCUCCACACCAACGCUCCUCGAAAAAUGGACCUCCUCCUCCUCCGCAUUACCCGGCUGGCGUCAGCAUGAGUCAGAUGUACCGGGCAACACCUCAGUCAAUUUUGGACUGGGCUACAGACCAGCUUGCGCUGGGUGCCAGUCAAUUGGGUCGGGUGGAGGGGUUUCACAGGGUGCUGGGCAGUUUUUUCAGCUGGGUGCUGGGCAAAAUGCCCUCCGCUGGAACUGCUCUAAGUGUUAGUGAAUCUAUCGUUUUGAUGAGAUACGAAUUCUAUGAAACUAAUUUUAAUGAUCCAACCGUCAAACUUGUUUUUUAUUAGGCUCUUAUUUUCAUGUGUAGAUGUAGUACUUAAAUGACAAAUAUGUUUUAAUGUUUUGAAGUAAUAUUUAUGUGGUCAAACUUGUUUUUUAUUAGGCUCUUAUUUUCGUGUGUAGAUGUAGUACUUAAAUGACAAAUAUGUUUUAAUGUUUUGAAGUAAUAUUUAUGUGGUAAUGUGUGGUAUAUGCAAAUUUAAGAAAAAAAUAUAUUUUUCUUAACGGGUCAUAAAGGGUCGGGUCACUUUACCCAGGGUCGGGUCACUUUACCCGUUGGGUAAAGUGACCCGACCUGUUAAAGACCCGUUAAGAUAACAUGUGUGACACGACACGACCCGUUACGAUGACAGGUGUUAUACGAAAACGACACGAACACGACAGACACGACCCGUUUGCCAGGCCUACUUCUAUGACAUAUUAAAUACCUCCUUGAGCACAAAAAUAGAAAGAAAGGAGGCAUAACAUAUAAUAACUCUAGUUUGGGCUAAUUCAUUCACAUACUAAGUGUCAAAGAGGUUAAUAUAUAUAUAUAUAUAUAUAUAUAUAUAUAUAUAUAUAUAUAUAUAAUAUAUAUUUUUUUUUUUUUUUUUUUUGGUCGAAGAGGUUAAUAUUUUUAUUGGAACUAAGACUUCUGUUUUAAACAAAAGAAGAAAACACGCGGCAGACAGAAAAACAUAAAGUGGAGUACUUACAUCAGGCCAAGAAUCGAUAAUGAGCUCUGCAAUUCAUUGGCUAUAUCUCAUUCCACAUCAACUUGUUCCUUCUCAGUUGGCCGCUAAAACCAACCAUUCCAAUUUAAUUAUAAGAAAUCAAUAGGAAGGCUAGUAAUUUAUUGUCAAAGUUCACCGUAUAUAGAUUUCCUCAGAUAUAAUUCAUCGUAUAUAGAUUUCCUCAGAAAUACGAUAAAAUACAAUUACAUUAAAUCUAAGGGUUGAAUUGCAAACUCAAGCAUUUCCUUGUAAAUAAAAACUAAUAAUAGCUCAUGACAAAAAAUUUACAGAACACAUAAAGUAGAAACAUUAGUACCUAAUUAGACAUGAAAAUUACAGAAUAAGCCGGAUUAAGCCAUCUAAAAACAGAAUAAGCCACUCAGUACUACGAUGGUCUAGUGAUAUUUCUCUUCACUUUGAAGUGAGAUGUCGUAGGUUCGAAUAUCGUGGAUGGUGAAUUCGAUAUCAAAUUAGGCUGUCUAAUGUGUGACUUAGCCAAACUUCCCCUCCCUUGGUAUAAAAAUACGAUGUACUAAAAAAAAAAAAAAAAAAAAAAAACAGAAAAUUAAUACCACCAUAGCGAAAUACUACAGAAUAAUCUAAUUAUUUAUGCAUUUGGCAAGUUAAAAUAAUUAACUAAAAAACUUGGAGCAAAACAACACUUUAAUUCCAUGGUUGGUUUUAUAUAUGUGUUUGGGCCCAAAAUAAUAGUUUGGGUCGAGUUUAGUGACUCUUGGCGUAGUAACCAUUUAGGGUGUGUUUGUUGCACCAAACUAUCUCGAACUGGACUUAGCUCAUGGACUAACCUAGAUUGACUUAGACUAGAUUAAGCUGGACUAACUUAGUGAAGCGUUUGUUGCAGUGUCAGACUAAAAAGCUGGACUAACAAUAAAUUAUUAUUAUAUUCUAAUUUUUUUUAUUAAGAAUAUCAAAAUUAAUAGAUUAAAGAAAGAGGAUAUCUUCUUCGCCAAUUUCCUGGUGUUCCUCAACACCUUGGAAGUUACAAAAUUUCCAAUAACAAAAGGCUUAAACUUGAUCUUGAAGAUAAACCUCCGCUGCUAAAGACCCAAUUCCCAAAUAUUUUGAUUAUUACAAAUAAAAAGUACCCAUAACCCUAAAAAUACCCAAUCUUCAUCCUUCUCACCCUCAGAUUCCUAUACCCAUGGCCAUGUAUGCGACUGAAGAUAGACAUCGACCACUAAAGGCCGUCGUCGAAGAGUCGAGCUUAAUCAUCCAAAGAAAUCGCCAGAUUAUAUAAUCGAUUCGGUUUGAGAUUUGCAUCGAAUGCGACCGCUAAGAGGAACUCAUCAAUUAAUUUCCCAACGAGCUUGAUCUAGCAGAGAGAGGUAAAGACAAAGAUAGAUGAGGAAAGACGAAGAAGGAGGUAGCAAGUGAGGAAAGCGAAGAAGAAGGCAUAUCGUAGUCCUUGGCAAUCCCAUGGUUUAACACGAGACUAUUUUGGACAAUCUAACGAGGCUCGGAGUCCACACGAGUCCGGGCUAGUCUCAUUUAAGUUAGUCCCCAAGCAUACCAAACAUGAGACAAUAAUCCUAGCUAGUCCAGUCCCACUUAAGAAGGUGAAACAAACACACACUUAGAGUCCUAUCAUGGGCCGUCCAAUCAUCAUCGACCGUCUAGUUAAGGUUGGCCGAAUCCCAUUGCAAAGAGGAUUGGUUUAGAUAAAAAGUAUACUCUAAGAGACGAGCGAUAAUAGUGCUAUACAUACCAGGUUGCUCAAACUACUGGUCAAUAAAGGCCACGAAGAUGGACCCGUCGAUCGUUCCCGACAGCCCUCACUUAAGAAUAAUUUGCCACCAGUGAUACAAGCCGAGACAAUAUAUGGUUGGCUCAAAAUGAUUGACUUAAAGAAAAGGGGUGGAUCAACUAGUAGAUCAGACAUAUUUGACCAAGGAGCGGAAACAACAUCUAUUGAUAUGGUCGAGGUUUAGAGAAUGAUUGAUUCGGCCCUAAAAAAAGGGCCGAAGUUUCCGAAAUUCAUUCACCCAUAUCCAGCAUUCGUAGAAAAGUUUGAAUACCCCAAGAGGUUCAAAAUUCCGGAUUUCAACCUUUUCGCCGGAGAGUCAUCCUUAUAGUCGUUAUAACAUGUAGCUCAAUUCACUGCCCAACGUAGGGACGUUAACAAUGAUUUUCAUAAGCUUCGACUGUUCAAUUUCUCAUUAACCGGCUCAGCAUUCGCGUGGUAUAUAAACCUUUCACCUAAUUCCAUCCAAAGCUGGGAGGAAUUAGUUAAGAAAUUUCAUGAGCAGUUCUAUCGACCAGGGAUGGAUGUGUCAGUAUUUUCUCUGGCCAGGAUGGCUCAAGCUUCUGACGAGUCGCCAAUGGAAUACCUUACGAGGUUUAAGUCGGCCAAAAACUGGUGUCGAGUAUCUAUCCCAGAAGUCGAGUUCGUUAGGCUUGCCUUGAAUGACCUAUAUGUGGAAUACAAAAAGAAAUUUUUGAGGGAAAACUUCGAGAUAUGUACGAACUGGCUUAACAUGUUGAGCAAUAUGAUUAUUUGCUACGAGAAUAAAAUAUUUGAAGCCCCUAUCCUGAGGAACAAUCUACAAGAACCCUACGGUCAGUUAUGCAUCGGUCGAAGGCGAAGAAUCCCAAUAUGCCAGUAUUGACGCGGCCGAGAUAGUGAUUGACAAGCCAUACAUAUGCAAAGCAUUGGCUUAUGCUAAUUCCAAGGAUGCCAAAACCCGCUCGGCCUCUGAAGAAGCUACCAUCAAAACAUCGAAAGUUUAUACUGUUGACAUUACCAAGGCCGACGCCAUCUUCAAGUAGCUGUUGCUCGUGAAAAUUAUCAAGCUUCGGUAAGGGCAUAACAUUUUCAAGGCUGAAGAUUUGAAAGGAAAAACAUAUUGCAAGUACCAUGACUUGAACAAACAUACAACAAACAACUACGUCGUAUUUCGUGAUGUCAUCUAGAUCUGGAUCGACAAUGGUAAGCUCAAGUUCCCCGAGAAACAAAUGGGCGCUGACACCGAUCAUUUUCCUACGGUGACAGUAAACAUGGUAGAUGUUCAUCUACCGAGGGAUAAAGGAAAAUGAAAAGCCGAGUUCGUUCCAAUGCAAUUCAUCCCAAAGCAGAACUCUCAACCACGAUUGAAGAUUGAUUUAUUUUCAAACGAGUACCCCAAGAUUUGAUUGGACCAACUAUUAUCGAGUCAAUGUCGGACUCCAGCACUGAGGAAACCGACGAGCCGAUAAAUCUUAUGUAGUCGGUGUAAAACAAAUGUCAUCUUAACUGAGCCGAAGAAAAAGCUAUUUCGAACUAAAAGGUCACGACAGGCAUCCACAACUGCAACACCAUCCCAAAAGGUACUUGGGGUAGGACAACACUAGAAAGUUUUGAUAGGCUCGGCCCGCAGGUACAAGACAAGAUGCCAUCUUCGGCCAGACGACACCUUGAUUUCAACGUGCAGUUUUACAACGAGGAUUAUUAUACGUGUAACUCUGGUAAUUCAAGUUCACCUGCGAACCAGUGUAUCAUCAGACCUCCUGAGCCACGUGAUCAACACUGGUAUACUUAUAACUCCCCUACCAGUGUAUACAUUGCGUUGUCCAAAUCGUUAAAACGUCGGAGCCAAAGAAUAGAUUGUAUAGCCCGCCGACGAGCAACUUAGGAUACCUCGGUUACCAAGUGGAAGCCGAAGGAAACGACCAAUAAUAAAGAUGACCGAUAACCUCCUGCGAUCAUGAUCGAGUUGCUCCAAGGGAAGAAAGUGAUUGAUCGUGACUUUGAAACCACGAUCGAAGAAUCCAAAAAGUGAAUCAAACUCCUCAUUCAACCUGAGGAAAUAGAAGCUCGCCUCGAGCACUUCCGGAAUGAGAUUAAGAGCAAACUUCCCCUGCUAUCUACACAAGAACCGUUGAUCAGAGUUAGAUAGAAUCUCCACCCACCAUUUCUUAGUGAAACUUUAGAAUACAUGCGAGAGUUUCACAAGAAGCAUUCGGCAAAUGAUUUAUACGGCUUGCCGAAAGCAUGCCAAGAUACUCUUGAUCUUGUUCUAACUUGCCCCGAUGUUGAAUGAAUCAUCCAAAAGACCUCAGAUCCGGGGAUGAAAGCUAGGUUCCAACAUAUACGAGAGCCUUGAGUUUUCGACUUCGAGGUAGAUCCAUAUAUUGAUAUUGACGCUGCCGAACUUCCUCUUUCGAUGACCUUCAAUAUUUACGAUACUAUUUCAAAGUCUUUUCAGAUGUUUCUCUCUUCGACCUUACUGUCGAUGAAAAGGAAUGCGUAGCACAAUUAGAUGCUUACCUUGACACGAGAGAUACUCGCAUCACAUAUCAGGAGCAAACUCAUAUGUCGUCACAAGACCAAAACCCAGUUUUAACACUGAACGAACCUGAGGUCAACAUGCAGAAUGAGAAGACUCUAGUGAACAUACCGCAUGAGCAUACCCCGGCGUCAGCUGAAAAAAGCAAGCAAAUACUGCCCAUACGUAGGACACCUCACCCGAAAGUCCAGAAGAAGAAGAUCAUGACCCGAUAGGUCAUUCGGUCAUCGACAACAGGGAAAUCAGCAUGGUCUAUGUUUUACCUACCGAGUUCCAACCAACCACAUCCCAACCAAAUUUCCUGGACAGCAACGUGGUUGCCGAGGAAGCCACGCAAGUUGAUUUUAUGGUCGCCGAAGAGAUUUAGCAAGCAACAAAAGAAGAUAAACUUAAAACAGUUUUUGCCGAAUUGUUUCCUCACUUUUCAUCAGUUAAUCUCCAUCAUCUUAAGCCGUUAUAUGUUAUGGCUCAUAUUGAAGGAUAUCCGGUCUUCAAAAUUUUCAUCGACUAUGGAGCAACGGUCAACAUCAUGCCUGUUGUUAUCAUGAACACAUUACGUCGUUCCAACGACGAACUUAUUCCAUCAGGGGUCACCAUGAGCAGCUUCGUCGGUGACAAAUCCCAGACCAAAUGAGUGCUUCCGUUGGAGGUAAUUAUCGUAGGUCGUAAUCACAUGACUGUAAUUUUCAUAGUCGAUUCAAAGACAGGGUAUAAUGCAUUUCUUGAUCAUGACUGGAUCUAUCAAAUGAGCUGCAUCCCCUCGUUAUUAUACUAGGUCAUUAUCUUUUGAGACGGCAAAUCGAUCUUAGUUCAUCUAGCCGACAAUUAGCCAUUCGAAGCAAAUAUGAUUCAAGCUCGUUAUUAUGACGAUCACGUCGGCUACAUCACCCUGCAAGCGUUUGAUGAGGAAUGACGGUCGACUUAGAUCUCAGUUCAGAAAGCCAUCGAGGUAAGCGCCGAGAUUGUUCAUUAAGAUUCGGCGAAACUAGGGUUGGCCGACCUAGUUGCCGAUCCUGAUGUCUGGUACCAAACUAGAUAGAUGCUGGGCCAUGGUUUCAUCCAUCAUAGAACGACUACUGGCGCAUUGGUAUGCUAUUUCUAGGUAGCUAAAUUCGGGUGUGAACUUGGUAGAGUUUCUCGCCGAAGGAAACAACAGUCCAGUUUUAUCACUUGACAAGAUUCAAGCUGCCAUGGCCGAGCUCGAAGACAGUCGGGCCCAAGUCAAAGAACCUUUAGAGGAAGUAAAUGUCGAAACGGCCGAAAACCCACGGCCUUUGUUUAUUAGUGCUUUGUUACCCCAACCUAUGAAAACUGCACUUUGUAAUUUACUCAAGGAAUUUAAAGAUUGUUUUGCUUGAGUUACCAUAAGAUGCCUAGUUUAGACCGAACGUUCAUCUAGCACGAAUUACGCAUCAAACCUGGUUGUAAACCGUUCCUCCAACCCCUCCCCCCCCCCCCCGACGAUUCUCGACCGAAGUACAACUUGGCAUAAAAGAUGAACUCGUUCGACUUUUAAAAGCUGGGUUUAUCCGGACAACUCGAUACAUUGAAUGGCUGGCGACCAUCGUCCUAUUUUUACAGAAAAGUGGUGCUCUACAUAUUUGUAUCAAUUUUUGAAAUUUGAAUUUGGCAACCCCUAAAGACGAGUAUACAAUGCCAAUUUUAGAUUUGUUAAUCGAAGUAGUAGUACACCAUGAGAUAUUAUCCUUCAUGAAUGGUCAUGCUGGUUACAACCAGAUUUUCAUUGCUGAGGCCGACGUCUAUAAAAUUACUUUUCGUUGCCCAUGGGCACUCGGGACUUACGAAUGGGUCGUCAUGCCAUUUGACUUGAAAAACACUGGUGCCAUAUGCCAACGUGCUAUGAAUACGAUUUUUCAUGUUUUAAUUGGUACCAUCAUCGAAGUCUAUUUUGAUGAUGUUGUAGUUAAAUCAAAACAUCGCCGAACACAUUUAGAUGAUCUUCGGCAGGUUUUCCUUCAAAUGCGCCAACAUAACCUUAAAAUGAAUCCUGCCAAAUAAGCAUUUGGUGUAUCGGUCGGCAACUUUUUAGGUUUUCUUGUACAUCAUCGUGGCAUUGAAGUGGACACAAAUAAAGCUCGGGUGAUCAUCGAUGCUCCACCUCCGACAACAAAGAAACAAUAACAAUCACUACUCGAUAAAGUCAAUUUCCUCUGCCGUUUCAUUUCUAACUCGGCAGGGAAGAUGAAAGCUUUCUCCACGCUCUUGAAACUUAUAGAUUCGGACAAAUUCGAAUGGCGUGAGGAGCACCAAGAUGCUUUCACGAAGACAGCCAACGGAUUCCUCGGCGGCCAAAAUAUACAACUUGAGUGAUUUACCGCGCCGAGGUGGCACAAUGACAUGUGGGUUAGUGAGGGAGACCCUAAUUUGUUUACUUUUAUUAAUUAAAUUCGUUUUUAAUUUAAGUAGGUUAUAAACUCAAUCAUCUCAAUUUCUACUUUACAAUAAUUAAUUGGAAUUUGGUUUGUUUCGAAUUAUUUAAUAAUUCCUGUGGAGAACGACCUUGCGAGAUCCGUUUAUACUACAAUAACUUUGUCAUUCUUACAAGUAUUAUAGGAGUUUUUAGCCCGUUUACGUGUGUAGUAAAAUCCGUAUCACCUUUCUUCAGACAGACUUUGAUCCCCCGCCAAAACCUGUAAGUGACACAUCAACUGGUAGAAGUGGCGUGCCUAUAGGUACGGUGGUUGGAAUUGUGGUUGGGGGAGUCUUAAUUAUACUACUGAUAUUUGGUGUUCAUUGGAAGAGAGGCCUCUUGGGGCAACAAAAGACAUUGGAGGAUGGUAUUAAUUUGCAGUUUAUUCUGUUAUACUGGUUUUUCCUUUUUGUUUCUCCAUUACUUUUUCUCAUCGACCUUUUUUCGUAACUAAUUAAGUACAACAUUUAUGCUAUUUUGCAUGGUUCUCCUGCAUAUUGACGUGCACUACAAAGACAGUAAUUAUUUAGAUAUUGAGCUUUCCGGCACUUUGAUGUUGCUGUAAUAUAUUUAUCUUCCAAACUCAUGAUGCAAAGUGUCUGCCUUACUUGUUAAAUUCUAGAAUCAGGCACAAAAUAUUAAGAACUAAGAAUGCUGUCGUUCUGAAAGUUUUCUUAAGACACAAUUUCUUAUGAGUUUUACUUGUUAUAUAGAUUUGAAGGGUGUGGACCUGCAAACUGGUAAAUUUACCUUCAAGCAACUCAAAGAUGCCACAAGCAACUUUAAUAGAGGCAAUAACUAGGUCUGGCAAACGGAUCGUGUCAAUCGUGUUCGUGUAACAUCUGUUAUCUUAACGGGUCGUGUCGUGUCACACCUGUUAUUUUAACGGGUCCUCAACAGGUCGGGUCACAAAACGCUUACAUUUUGCAUAUCCUUGCACAUUUAAAGUGACCCGACCCGUUAUGACCCGUUAAGAAAAAUAUUUUUUUUUCUUAAAUUUGCACAUACCACACAUUGUCACAUAAAUAUUACUUCAAAACAUUAAAACACAUUUGUCGCUUAAGUACUACAUCUACACUCGAAAAUAAGAGCCUCAUAAAAAAUACAUCCAUACACUACUAAUUUAUUACAAAUAUUAAAUGUGCAAGGAUAUGCAAAAUGUAAGCGUUUUUGUUUUCAAGGUUGUGAAGCCUUUCUCAAAAGUUUAAACCUUGCCAAUGGAACUCAAAGCUUAAUGAAACUGACCCACUAGUGUGUUUAUUCGUACUUUCAUUAAGUAUAGCAUAAGAUUUUGUGGUAUCCACUAGUGUAAAUAUUUUAAAUUGAAUAUCGAAUUCAAUCAUUGUAUUCAUAUAGGGUCAAGAAGUGUAGUUGUAAAAAAUCAUCAAAAUCGGAGUUAAAAUAACCGUUAAAUUGUGAUUUUUCGUUUAUAACCGUUGAAAAGUUGUGUCCCGUUACUUAAUCUUUAAAUGUUUGUUUUUUACAAUUUUUGGCGUAUGUGAUCUCGAAGUAUAUACAAACAAGUAUGACGGUUAGAUUGUUGAAACUAGUUUCGUAGAAUGCGUAUCCCAUCAAAACAAUAGAUUCACUAACACUUAAAAGUUUAUUCUUACUUUCAUUAAGUAUAACAUAAGAUUUUGUGGUAUCCACUAGUGUAAAUAUUUUAAAUUGAAGAUCGAAUUCAUUCAUUGUAUUCAUACAGGGUCAAGGAGUGUAACUGUAAAAAAUCAUCAAAAUCGAAGUUAAAAUAACUGUUAAAUCGUGAUUUUUCGUUUAUAACCGUCGAAAAGUUUUGUCUCGUUACUUGAUCUCUAAAUGUUUGUUUUUUGCAAUUUUUGGCAUAUGCAAUCUCGAAGUAUAUACAAACAUUUUUUACGGUUGGAUCGUUGAAACUAGUUUCAUAGAAUGCGUAUCCUAUCAAAACAAUAGAUUCACUAACACUUAAGAGUUUAUUCAUACUUUCAUCAAGUAUAACAUAAGAUUUUGUGGUAUCCACUAGUGUAAAUAUUUUAAAUUGAAGAUCAAAUUCAUUAAUUGUAUUUAUAUAGGGUCAAGGAGUAUAUCAUUAAAAAAUCAUCAAAGUCGGAGUUAAAAUAACCGUUAAAUUGUGAUUUUUCGUUUAUAACCGUCGAAAAGUUUUGUCCCGUUACUUGAUCUUUGAAUGUUUCUUUUUUGCAAUUUUUGGCCUAUGCGAUCUCGAAGCAUAUACAAACAAGUUUGACGGUUGGAUCGUUGAAACUAGUUUCGCAAAAUGCGUAUCUCAUCAAAACAAUAGAUUCACUAACACUUGAGAGUUUAUUUAUAUUUUCGCUAAGUAUAACAUAAGAUUUUGUAGUAUCCACUAGUGUAAAUAUUUUAAAUUGAAGAUCGAUUUCAUUCAUUGUAUUCAUAUAGGGUCAAAGAGUGUAGCUGUAAAAAAUCAUCAAAAUCGGAGUUAAAAUAACCGUUAAAUCGUGAUUUUUCUUUUAUAACCGUCAAAAGGUUUUGUCCUGUUACAUGAUCUCUGAAUUUUUAUUUUUUUGCAAUUUUUGGCAUAUGCGAUCUUGAAGUAUAUACAAACAUGUUUGACGGUUGGAUCGUUGAAACUAGUUUCGUCGAAUGCGUAUCCCAUCAAAACAAUAGAUUCACUAACACUUAAGAGUUUAUUCAUACUUUCAUCAAGUAUAACAUAAGAUUUUAUGGUAUCCACUAGUGUAAAUAUUUUAAAUUGAAGAUCGAAUUCAUUCAUUGUAUUCAUAUAGGGUCAACGAGUGUAGAUGUAAAAAAUCAUUAAAAUUGGAGUUAAAAUAACCGUUAAAUCGUGAUUUUUCGUUUAUAACCGUCGAAAAGUUUUGUCCCGUUACUUGAUCUCUGAAUGUUUGUUUUUUUCAAUUUUUGGCGUAUGCGAUCUCGAAGCAUAUACAAACAAGUUUGACGGUUGGAUCGUUGAAACUAGUCUCGCAAAAUGCGUAUCUCAUCAAAACAAUAUAUUCACUAACAAUUAAGAGUUUAUUCAUAUUUUCAUUAAGUAUAAUAUAAGAUUUUGUGGUAUCCACUAGUGUAAAUAUUUUAAAUUGAAGAUUGAAUUCAUUCAUUGUAUUCAUAUAGGGUCAAGGAGUGUAGCUGUAAAAAAUUAUCAAAAUUGGAGUUAAAAUAACCGUUAAAUCAUGAUUUUUCGUUUAUAACCGUCGAAAAGUUUUGUCUCGUUACUUGAUCUCUAAAUGUUUGUUUUUUGCAAUUUUUGGCGUAUGUGAUCUCGAAGUAUAUACAAACAUGUUUGACGGUUGGAUCGUUGAAACUAGUUUUGUAGAAUGCGUAUCCUAUCAAAACAAUAUAUUCACUAACACUUAAGAGUUUAUUCAUACUUUCAUCAAGUAUAACAUAAGAUUUUGUGGUAUCCACUAGUGUAAAUAUUUUAAAUUGAAGAUCAAAUUCAUUCAUUGUAUUCAUAUACGGUCAAUGAGUGUAGCUGUAAAAAAUCAUCAAAAUCAGAGUUAAAAUAACCGUUAAAUCUUGAUUUUUCGUUUAUAACCGUCGGAAAGUUUUGUCUCGUUACUUGAUCUGUGAAUGUUUGUUUUUUUGUAAUUUUUUGCUGAUGCGAUCUCGAAGCAUAUACAAACAAGUUUGACGGUUGGAUCGUUGAAAUUAGUUUCGUAUAAUUCGUAUCCCAUGAAGUUCAGUGGUGUGUGUGUAUAUAUAUAUUUAUUUAUUUAUUAAGUAGAUUUAAAUCUAUUUAUUUUGUAUGUAUAAUUAUUAUAGUUUUUAGGGGUAUAAAAUUUAAUAUAUAUAUAUAUAUAUAUAUAUAUAUAUAUAUAUAUAUAUAUAUAGAACUAUUAUAGUUAAUAUUUUGGGGGUAUAAUUAUUAUAGUAUAUAUAAUUAUUAUAAUUAUUAUAGUUAAUUUAAUAUAUAUAUAUAAUUAUUAUAGUUUUUAGGGGUAUAAAAUUGUUAAAUUAAUAUAUAUAAUUAUUAUAGUAUUUUUUUUAGGGUUAUAAAUUAUUAAAUUAAUAUUCUGCUUAUCGUGUAUCGUGUUACCCACGUGUAUACCCGAACAACCCAUUAUCUUAACAGGUGCUUAUCGGGUUACCCGAUAACGACCCGCUUCGUUAUCGUGUCGACCCGAACACCUGUUAAUUUCGUGUCGUGUCGUGUCAGAUUAUCGGGUCGUGUCAGGAAUUGCCAGGCCUAGCAAUAACAUUGGUGAAUGUGGUUUUGAUUCUGUUUAUAAGGUAUUCUUUGGAGCAAAUAAUUUAUUUAUUGAUUAUAUAUUUUUUUCUAGUUUGACACUGUCCGUUCUAAUGAAAGUUAAUUUGCUCCAUAGUGAUGCGAAUUUGACUAUCUUUCUUAAAUGUAGGGCAUUCUAGCAGAUGGCACCGUAAUAACUAUUAAGCAGCUGUCUUCCAAAUCAAAGCAAGGGAAUCAUGAAUUUGUUAAUGAGAUUGGCAUGAUUUCUGCUCUGCAACACCCUCAUCUUGUCAAGCUCCACAUAUGUUGUAUUGAAAGAAAUCAAUUAUUGCUUGUCUAUAAGUACCUGGAAAAUUAUAGCAUCGCUCAUGCUUAUCUUCAGUAAAUAUUAGUCUUGUUUGCCAAAAGUUCAUUUCAUCAUAUAGUGGCAUAAAAGAUCUUAUGCACUAAAAAUAUGUCCCUUACAACUAACUUUGUUUAAUUUGGCAAAUUGAACGGGUGAAGAAAGUCAUUAGAAGUUGGAUUGGCCAACAAGGCACAAGAUUUGUAUUGUUACAGCAAGAGGUUUGGCUUAUCUUCAUGAGGAAUCAAGAUUGAAGGUCGUUCAUAGAGACAUCAAGGCUACUAAUGUUCUGCUUGAUAAAAAUCUUAACCAGAAAAUAUCUAACUUUGGAUUGGCCAAGCUUGAUAAAGAGGAUAAUACACACAUUAGCACCCGUAUUGCUAGAACUUAGUGAGUCCCUAAACUUUUAUUUAUCUUCUUAUUCUCUUGUUUUGAUCUUCUUCCACCCUUAAAAAAGAAGAUAGAGCAAUGGAAAGUCUAUAACUUACAUAAUUUUCAACCUAACCAAAUCUUUGUUGUUCAAGAAAUUUCAAGGGCAGAUUUGUUCUUUGAAUAUAGUUGUAUUACUAUGUAUCUCUCUAACUAUUGCAUUAAUCUUAAGUAUUCAAUUAGCAAUAUUUUUACUAAUUAUUUUAGCUAAAUCUGGGUUAAUGAUGUGAUUUCAUGAUUUGCAGUGGAUACAUGGCGCCCGAAUAUGCAAUACGGGGUUAUCUGACUGAUAAAGCAUAUGUCUAUAGUUUUGGUACUCUCGUAUUGGAAAUUGUUAGCGGGAGAAACAACACAACUUACUGGAAAAAGGAAGAAAGCUUUUAUCUUCUUGAUUGGGUAACAUGAAUCCACUACUUCCUAAUUUAACUUCAAAUUUUCUUAAUAUACCUUAUAUAUGUGAAAGUACAUUUGAAUCGGUGAAGUUUAAACCAAAGACAGAAUUUAUAUUGCUUUUGUUACAUCCAUUUUUUGUAGGCACGACUUCUAAAAGAGCAAGGGAAUUUGAUGGACCUAGUUGAUCCAAGGUUGGAAUCAGACUUUAACAAAGACGAGAUGACUGUUGCAAUCAAUGUGGCUCUCCUUUGUUGCAAUGUUACUUCGACAGCUAGGCCUACCAUGUCUUUGAUUGUGAGCAUGCUCGAAGGAAAGGCUGUUGUUCAGGAGUUGGUCUCGGAUCCAAAUGCUGAGAGUAUUGAGAUCGAUGCAAUGAGGAAACAUUUUCAAUCUAGUUUUGGAAGGGGCAUGGGCGAGAAACAGAUAGAAACAGAGUCAAUUGAAGGGCCAUGAACUGCUUCGUCUGCGUCUGCUCACGAUCUUUAUCUCGUCAAUCCUGAUUCAAAUUACUGGGGGAACAGAAGCGAGAGAACUUGAGCUGCACGGUUAUCAGUUCGACUUAACCUUAGCACACUCAAAACAUAUCAGCUAAUAAAUCAUCUGUAUUUCCUCUAUAACUAUUUUCUUUUUUUUGUUUGAUAAUAUAGUAGAAAGCAUAAUUGAAGAAGUUUCUACAGCAUGGUAAUUGUAAAAUCAGUUCUUUUCAGUAUUUUGUAGUAUGAUAAAAUGAUUUUCUUUUCGAAUAAUCGAAUAGAGUAAGUUGGUUGAACACUAUACUAUUUUGGCUAUGUGGUGGUUUGUGAAGAGAGGAGAUAAUGUACACCAAAUUCGAAAAGGAUGGGAAUAGAGUAAGUUGAUUAAGAGAAGGAACUUAAAUUUAGUAAAAUCGGAAAUCAUUUGUGGAGGAUUUUUCUAUAUCAAUAUAUUGUUAAUAUACAAGGUAAAGCAAGAUUCAGAGGAUAUGCAUGAAAAGAAAAAUGAUACCUGACGUAAAUCAUUGCCAAAAAGAUAAACAAAUUGCCAAGUUUUCUUAAAUUUAGUUUUGGAAGUUCUGAAAUUUACUUCAAUUGCAUUGAUUUUGAUUGUACUAGAAUACAGGUAUAUAUAAAUACAAGAAUUCCUACUACAUAGGUAAUUGGUACAAACUAAGUAAUCAGCCUGUGAUGCUUUACCUUAUUAAGAACGCCCAACUUGCCUAAUAGAGAUUUAAAAUGUUCAUUCCCCAAAGCUUUAGUGAAAAUGUCGGCAAGCUGUGACAUGUUGACAACUUUUCAUUCCAUGAUUUUAUUUCCGACAAAGUAACAAUCAAUCUCAAUACGUUCAUGAAAUACUGAAUUUGCGGCAAUGUGAAGAGCAGCGUGAUUAUCACAAAACAAAGUUGCAGCCCCCUUGUUGCCAAGUUAUAGACCACGAAAUAGAUUUUGUAACCAAGCCAACUCGCAAUAGGCUGCUGCCAUGGAUCUAUACUCUGCUUCGGCAGAGGACAAAGAAAUUGUCUUUUGACGUUUGUUGUUCCACGAAACAAGAGAGUCUCCAAGAAAAACUCAAGAAUCAGUGGCGGGUCGCAGAGUGGUUGGCCAUCCUAUCCUAUCCAAGUCACAAUAUGCAUUCAACUUCAAAUCAUUUUCUGAAGAAAACAUAAUACCUCGUCCGGGUGUCCGUUUUAAGUAUCUCAAAAUCCAUAAUGCAGCCUCAUAUCAUGGCUUCCGAGGUGCUUACAUGAAUCUACUCAACAAGUGGACCAAGUACAUGAUAUUUGGCUAGGUAAUAGUGAGAUAAAUUGGACGACCAAUCAAUCUCCUAUAUUUAACAUGAUCAUUGAGAAUUUCACCCUCAUUAGGAGAAAUUUUUCAUUGUAACGAGAACACACGUGGUAAACCACGUGUCAUUGUGUAAGUGGUGGAAAAUUUUAUUUUUUAAGCUAUUACCUUUUUAACACACAUAUGAUAUAUCCUACCAUUUAUACAGUAACACGUGGUGUACCACUUCGUAUGCCGGUCACUCUGAAAAAUCUCUCCCUCAUCAGAAAGCAAUUUGAGAUUUUGCUCCAUAGAGAAAGUGCAAGGUUGUGAUCCUAAAAGACCCACAUCAUUGAGAAUAUCCAACAAGCAUUUCCUUUGUGACAUAAAAAUCCCCCUUUUUUAACACGCCAUUUCUAUGCCCAAAAAGUAUUUUAAAUUACUAAGAUCUUUGCUAUAGAACUUGGUAUUUAAAAAAUGUUUUAGACUAUUAAUUGCAGUUGAAUCAUUUUCUAUAAUCAAAAUGUCGUCAACAUAAAUAAGGGGUGAAGUAAAUGACUUGCCUUUGUGUUUAGUGAAAAGCGAAUAAUUUGCUUUUGAUUGAACAUAACCGGCGAACCGAAUGGCUUGCGAAAACUUGAAAAAUCAUUGUCGAGAGACUUGCUUCAAACCAUAAAGUGAUUUAUUGAGGCAACAUAUCAGUUUCUCCCCCUAUCGGCGAAGAUUGAAAGGUGGGACCAUGUAUAUUUCCUCCAUGAGAUCACCAUGAAAGAAGGCAUUAUGAACAUCCUAUUGAUGUAAAGACCAUGAAUAGGCGGUGGCAAGAGCAAUAAGGCAGCGGAAUGUGACCAGUUUGACAGUAGGGGAAAGAUAUCAUGAUAAUCAAUACCCUUUGAGUGUACCUCUUAGCGACCAAAUGAGCUUUGUAACACUUAAUACCAUUGGAUUAGUACUUGACUUUGUAGACCCAUUUGCAACCAAUGAGUGAUACUCCAUAUGUUGUUAGCCUUGAGAGCUUGGAUUUUGUCAUCCAUGACUUGAUUCCAUUUAGGAUAUGUGCAAGCUUCUGCUUAUGUGGUUGGCUCCAUAUGGUAGAAAUACUAGCAAGAAAGGUAGAAUAUAGGGGCAACAAGUGGAUACCUGGUACUGGAACUGGAAGACGAGGGCGUAAUGGGGCAAUGUAAGAGAGGGACAAACAUAGUCACUGAGCUUCGCAGGUGGAGUUAUGAGGCGAUUACAUCCUCGUAAAGGGAUAUCAGAGAGCUAGUCAUCAGGCUGCAUGGUAGGGAGCUGAUCAUCAGGCUGCGUGUCAGGGAACUAAUCAUCAAGCUUCGUGAUAGGGGCAAGGUGCUCAUCAGGUGACUACAUGUUAGAAAGCUGAUCAUCAGGAGCAAUAUCAACAGAUGUCUCGACAUUUUGUAGGGCAUUGGUGGGGUCAUGCAGUUUAUGAGAUAGUGAGCAAGGCUCAAUGCAUGGAUUGAAUAUAGGUGUCUGAUAGCUAUUUGUAAGGGGAUUUAAUUCUUUUUGGCCAUGAUAGGGAAACAAAUCCUCGUAAAAAACAUCUCGACUCGUAAAAAUAUGUUUGGAUUGAAGAUCAUAUAAUUUGUAUAUUUUUGUCCUAAAAGGUACCCAAUGAAAAUUCAGGAGGGUGCCAUCAGAUAAGCCCACGGUAGGCAAUGGUGGUUUAAAUGUUGCUUGGGCCAAUGGAAGACCUGAAACGUGGUAUGUUGCACCACUGUCUAAUACCGACUCGUUAGAAACCCUACCUGCAGCGGUGACUGCGUGGGCUUUGCUUUCCAGGCCUACCUUAUGGCUCAUCAGCGAUAAAAGUUACUGGAACUGCUUUUGAAUAAGGUUGGGCAUCAUGUCAGCACACCCUGUGGAUUAAAUGUUGUUGACCAAUGAAACCCCCCUCUGGAACUGUUACCUUUAGUUUUCUUUUUGUGAUCGCCAUCACAGGUUUCUCUGGAUUUUCCAUGAAGACAAUGACUAGGCAGAUAAUCGUGAAGUAUUUCCAGCAGGUGUCAAAGGUGUGAUGGUCAUGGUCACAGUACAAACAGUGGAAAGGUUUACGUUCUAUCGAUCGUUCCUUGCCAUUAUUGGAUGAAGACUGCACCGCCAUGGCUGCGGGUUCAAUCAAGGCUUGCACAAUGGUUAUGCCUCAUUGCUUCUCUUCCUGAUAAAAGAGAGAAUAGAUCUUGCAAAUGAACAGAAGGGUUGCAUUGUUGAAUAUCUCACUUCUAACUCAUCAUUGCUAGCUCAUCAAAACAGUUGUAAAUGAUUGGAUGAUGUAAUAGUUAGUUGAAAAAGUUAGUUAGAGUUUGUUGCUCAAAGCUUAUGAGCUAGGUCCUAUAGGCUAUAUAGUCAACUAUAUAUAGCUGUCGUAAACAUGAUCUUUUGUCAUGAUCUUAUCAAACAUGAAGCACGUGAUUCUGUCUCAGGUUUCUUUUGGGUAAAUGAUAUGGCAGGGUCUUGAAGCUUGAUUCAAUUGUGGGAGGCAAGUUAUGGAAAAAUAUUGAUGUGCUCAUCUUUAACACUUGGCAUUGGUAGAAUCGUAGAUGACCCUCUCAAUCGUGAACAUAUCUUCAAUUUGGAGAAACAGUAAUGUGUUGGCAACCAGCAACAUCUUCAGUUUGGAUAAACAGCACUGGAGCUGUAGAAUCAGCCGAUCGAGGAUCACCUUCAGUUUGGAUAAAUAACAUUGUUUUGAGACCAACUGGUUAUCUAUCCAAGUUUUGGCCAUCAAAGAUUUCCGAAUCUUUGUUGGAAGAUGUCAUCUCAUUAGCCUUCUAGGUAAAGUGAGGUGUUACAAGGUUACGACAUUCGGCACACUGAAAGUCAAAUACUUAUUGAACUUCGCAGAACUAGUAGCCUUGUCUUCAGACUCCAGAACCCAAAGGUCAAUAUGUGUUCCAUCCUCGACUGCAGUCACAAGAUUCAGAAGUCAUUAGCGCGCCUAACACCACAUUAACAUUCAUUCACUCCCCGGCCAAGCUCGGCCAACGAGUUGGCACGCCUUACAUUCAACUAAAGGAUGUAGUUAGCUUAUUAGCUAUUCGGCCUAUACACCACGUAGGCUAAGUAGUUUUUAAGGUGAACACCAUGGCAUCAAUCAAAUUAAUAGUCUCUUAUUUUCUCUUUUUUUUUUUAAUUUUAAUUUUAGUGGCAGUGAGUGGCAUGAACCAAGGGCAAGAAGAUGUGUAGGGCAGAAUGAGCCUUUGCUUAGGUCGACCUAUCCAGGAGCUUUGCCACCAGCUCUGGGUGCGCUGAGGAAUGUGUUAAGCACAAUAAAAAAGCUCGUGACAUUGCAAGAUAUAACAAGCCUCUCACUCAUGCGUAAAGAUGGACAUCCUUCAAUCUAUGGACUGGGAGGCCAAUAACUGCAAGCAAGGAAUGGAUGACAAUGGUAGCAAUAGCUGCAACAGGCCAACAUAUAAAAAUAGGAUAUUACUAGAGAAACUAAAUUUUUUAAAUUAAAUUUCAAACCAAAUGAUUUGUCAACAAUAAGAAACAAGUACGUUAAUAGACACUUAAUUAAUAAUCCAAUCAUCUACAACCACAUCAUUUAGUUUGCAAAUUUGGUUUUAAAAAAUUUAGUUUUCCUAGCAUUACUCUAUCCAUAAAGAUAACAUCUAGGGAAACCCAAUCGGUGAAGUAUAGCAAACAACUAUUCACUAAGGAAUGAGGAUCCUCUUCGAAUCCAUUUUGUGAGGAUCUCAAGAAUCAUUCAAUCACGUCUGUUCAUCGUACAUCGUGUGGUAACAAUUAUUGUAAAUUUUUUUAUUUAAAAUUAAAUAUAAAUAAUACCUGAUGAAAACUGGUAAUGUACAAUGAACAGACAUGAUUUGAGGAUUGCCGAGAUUCUCACAAAAAUUAUCCGGAAAGGACCCCCAUUCUUCACUAAGGAAUAAACUAGAAAUUAUAAUAUUAAAAUGCAUAAUGGUUACCAAGCAAGCAAAUUUAUUGGGACUUGGAUUGUUUGCCUCCCCAUCCCAUACCCUCCAUAUGCCCUUAUAUUUCUAUGGUCAUGGUUAAACCACGUUAACAUUUUAUAUUUGCAUUGCUUUUUGUUUUAUUAUUUUUAUAAAAAAAAUUAAUAUAAAAUAUUGACGUGAUUUAACCGUGACCACAAAAUAUAGGAGGGCAUGAGAAAUGUAUAGAAUGGGGGAGGACAGACAAUCCAAGUCCAAUUUAUUGGCCUUGAAGUACCCAUGCCUGCAGAAGACAGAACCCAAAGUAACUCGGGAACUCAAACGUGGCCAAUUCAUCCAAGCAAAACAAUUAAAGCAUCCAAGGAGCCGAAACGACAUCCCAUUACAACCAUUAAACAUCAAGGAGAAUGGAAAACAUAUGAACUUUUUUUAUGAUGCUUUAUGAAUGAUGAAUUGAAAUAUAAACGGCUCAUACCUUUGAAAAAAAAGAAUUACAAAAUGAAAACCACAAAAAUUGUGUUAAAAUGUGUGUCAAAUAUAUGAGGAUGUGUAUAUAUAUGCACACCCACAUAUACACACACACACUUAAACGUGUAGCACUGGGUAUAGGUAGCAAAAGGCCACUUGUGAUGAGUGCUUGAUUCUAAAAUGUAGUAUUUCUCUCAAACAUUUGACUAUUACUUUAGUCAUGGAAUGCUGAUCAAAAUGCAAUUAAAUAGUAUCACUUAGAAUCAUAACUCUUGGCUUAUAGUAUGAAAAAAUAACAGAACAUUUGUAUAUUGCUUGCAAGUAAUUAGCUUCAGUUAGUCAACUCCAGCAACUUGAUUAAGAAAGCAUGUACAUAGAGCUGCGCAAUUACCAUGUCCACAUUUCCUGAUCAGGAAAUUUCCCAUGCUUGGCUUAGUUGAAAAUAGCAGAUAAGUCAAGAGUGUAUUUUAAAUUACUGUUACUUAAUUAUUCUAAAGUUCAUAAUCAAUAUUAAUUACUAGCAGCUUAUUAUAUACUGUUGUCAAAAUCGUGAGUUGGACUGUUGGUAAGGGUUUUUAAUUAGGGAACUUUAACGAAAAGCACCCGGUACUGUUCAUUUUAACGAAAAACCACAUUUUUACACUAAAAAGUCAAUUUUGGUACUAUUCACUUUACCUUUUAUUUUGUCCUUAUCAUUAAAACUCAAAGUUUUCAAGCUCUUUUCAUUAGUUUUCCUUUUUAAUUAAGCUGACUUUGGGCCCCAAAUAAUAAAGUGUCGACAUAAUACCUGUUACUUCAACAACAACGAAUAUGAAAAAAAAAAAACCCUUGAUUGUCAGUUGCUUGUUGUAAAUAUAAUUUUUUAUGUAAUCUUUCGUUUUCUUCCUGCUUACGUCCAUUGUCAGCUAAACAUCAGCUCUUUGUUUUUGUUGUUAAAAAACGGCUUUCUAAUAUUAUAGAAUUCCCACUUGAUCUAACAAUUGGGAUAAUUAUUCGAAAGAAAAAAAUACAAUUGAGAUAAUUAUAACAAAUCAUCUCAACUAUUUGCAGUUUUACUUUAAAAAAAAAAAAAUCUCACAUACGUCUCAAUCAUCCAUAAUGAUCAGAUGACUAAAAUUUCACAUCCGUCUCGAACAACCAUUUAUGUUAAAAUUGACUAAAAUGCAAAAUUCUCAUAUAUUAGAGUCUUUAAAUUGGAUCCUCACUACAGAAUGUCACUUGGUUGUGUAUGCGUAUCUUUAGCUGAAUCUGGCCGGCCACAGGUAUCGGUCAAAAAAACAGGUUUUCAAAAUCUGUUUUUUAUGAUAUUGUUCUACUAGAAUUUGUCUUUGAUUAGUAUUGUCCAUAGACUAUGUUCGAGAGAGCUCCCAAACUUGACCUCGGGAGGCGUUCAGUGUUUCGUGAUACAAUAAUAUAGUCCAUACAAAUUUUCUUGCUGAUUAUAUUCCACAGUAUGAUCCAAUACUUUUUGGUAAUUUAGGUCAUGAUUAUCAAUUCAAUAACUCCCACCUUAUACCUUUAAAGCCAAAAGUAACAUAAGGGGCAGAUCCGUGUUAUCACAUUUUUACACAACUUUUUAUUCUUAUUUUUCGUGAGAAUCAUUCUGUAAUGUAUUUCAAUAAUCCGAACGUCUAUCUUUUAGGUUUUUCUUCAAAUAUCAUGUAUACCAAGAAUCACCUAAAUAUGAAAUCAUAUGACUGUUGAAUGUCUUCACAGUUUUAUAUUUGUCUAAUUUUUUACAAGAAUCAUCCAUGAAUGAUUUUCUAAAAAAAUAGACGUUCAAAUCGUUAAAAGUACAUUACAAAUUUGACCCCACAAAACCUGUGUAAAAAAUUAUGUAAAAAAAAUAGUGCCACGGAUUCGCUAUAUAUAUAUAUAUAUAUAUAUCCAUACAUUUUUUUUACUUCUCACAUACCUCUUAUUAAUUUCUGUCCUUUGAUAUAUAUAUAAAAAAAAUCUUCUUCAAUUCAUCCAAUCCGAUGGCCGAAAAUUAAAAGUGUGUGAGAAGUAAAAAGAAGUGUGUAAAUAGCACACAUCAUCUAAAAAACCAUUAACGAACGGGCCUGUAAUUCCAAAUUUACAAGUUUUUACUCCCAAAAGAGACAGAGCUUAUUAAUUUUGAAUUUUUUUAAUUUUCUGAUUGACUUGGGGUUGGGGUAAGUACGGAAUAUAGCGCUUGAUCUGUUGAAAUGUCCCACAUCGACCGUAUCAAUGAAAAAAGAAGAGUUUAAAUACCCUAAUCUCACUUUAACUAAUACCGAGGUCUUCUGUAAUAAAACCACAUAUCUGACGGAUUGUGCAUAUGGUAAUUACCAAGUUGGGGACAAUAUCGGUGUUGUUGGAAGUGGGCCGUGUGGUUCGUCUCUUUGAUAAUUCUACAUGGUAUCAAAGCCAAGAAGCUGGCAUGUACCGUACUGCCACGUGAUUGGUGGGUCCCCUUGGCCCCGCGCGAUGAUGGUGGGUCCCUUGGUCCCGCGUGUAGAGUGAGUCCUCUUGACUCCACGUGGUUGUCGAUGUGUGGAUCUCCCACGUGUGACCUGGUAAUUGGGUCCCACAUGAGGGGGGUGUUGAAAUGUCCCACAUCGACCGUAUCAAUGACAAAAGAAGAGUUUAAAUAUCAUAAUCUCACUUCAACUAAUACCGAAGCCUUUUGUGAUAAAACCCCACAUCUGACGGAUUGUGCAGGUAGUAAUUACUAAAUUGAGGACAAUAUCGGUGUUGUUGGAAGUGGGUCGUGUGGCCCAUCUCUCUAAUAAUUCUACAUGAUCACGGCUGAAUAGUCAAUUGGGUCCCACGUGAGGGGAGUGUUGAAAUGUCCCACAUCGACCGUAUCAAUGACAAAAGAAAAGUUUAAAUAUCAUAAUCUCACUCCAACUAAUACCGAAGCUUUUUGUGAUAAAACUUCAUACCUGACAGAUUAUGCAGGUAGUAAUUACUAAAUUGAGAACAUUAUCGAUGUUGUUGAAAGUGAGCCGUAUGGUCCAUCUCUCUAAUAAUUCUACAUGAUCACGGCUGAAUAGUCAAUUGAUCGUAUCAUAUACCAACGAACCUUUGCUUUUGAUUGAGUAGUUGUGAAGAAGUCAAGGUCGUGUAAGAUUAAUUUUCAAACUACAAUUAUUUAGCCUUCUAUCAUUCUGUGCCAUUCAUUUGUUUUAGCUAAAUGUAGACAUGCACUUAAUUUCAUGCCCGACUUUUAAAAAUGAAUAUGACUUUUCUCUUUAAUUUGUCGUGUCACCGGUUUAAAAGCUCCGAUCUUCACAGUGUAGCUUAGAUUAUUAAUAAUAACAUCGAUUGUAAUAAAAAUAUAUAUAUAUUCUCAAAACACAAAAAGGGUUAUUAAUAAAAAUAUAUAUAUUCUCAAAACACAAAAAGGGUUAUUUUUUUCAUUUUCAGAUUAUGUUGGACACGGAAUAGGAUCCUCUGGAUUUGUGGGGAUCUGAAAGAUCAAUUAAAUCGGUGUAUUGAGCAAAUAAUACUAGUUACUUCAACAAAAAAAAAAAAACAGUUACAACUAAUUAUUUUUGAUCGUCAGUUGCUAGUUACAAAUAUAGCUAAUGUCCUGUGACCUCGUAAUAUUUUUAUGAAAAUUUUCAUUUUCUUUGUCAACUAAAAAAAUACUCUUUAUUUUUGUUGUUAAAAAACAACUUUCCAAUAUUAUAGAAUUCCCACUUGAUCUAACAAACGCAUCAAAAUGAUACCUGAAAUUGAAAAUUGAUCAAUGUCGUCUAUGAAUAUGGAGAUUGUUGUCGGUGGCUAAGUUCAAAGAAGAAGGAGAAGAUGAGGAUUAUUAGUUUGUUGUUUUUCUUCUUUUUACCUUUUAAAUUUUUUGAAACACUUUAUUUAAUCCAUAUGUUAUCAUAUUAUUGGAGUGCAGAGUCUUAUGUGUGUCACAUAAACACAUAAUAGAUUUUUUUAACAGAAAUAAGACAGAAGACGACAUUGAUUUGCAACACCCAUAUUCAGGGACGAUAUUAUUCAAUUUUCAGCUUCAGAUAUCAUCUUGAUGUGAUGGGUCAAUUUCAGAAACCACUUAUAACAAAAAUGUAAUAUAAUAUAAUAACGUAAGUUUAACAAGUCACUACCUGUGAAACCAGUCUUUUUAACAUGUUACUAAGGAGCCUAUCUAUUGUCAAACGAUAAGAUAAUUAUAUUAAAUUUAACUAAAUUACGGCAAGUGGAAUUCAAACUUGGUGCAUAAUAAAACACAGUGAUGUAACUAGCUUGGCUAAACUAAAAUCUUCUAUUUUAAAUUAAUUCUUUUACAAGUAAUUUAUGUAAAUGUAUCUUUAAUUAUAUAAAUAAUUAAAUAAAAAUAAAUAGAGUAAGUGGUUGGGAACAAGGUCUAAAAUAUCGAUAUUAUCCCGAUAUUUCCAUCGAAAUUUUCAUGUUUUUGGACUAUCGAUAUUUUCGAUAUCAUCAAUAUUUUAGACCUUGAUAGGAACUCUAUGUGGUACUAAGUCACUCAUGUAUCUUACCAUGCAAUGUAUAAAGUGUAAAAUAUUGUACUAAUUCAUUAUAUAUAAAUGAUUAUGGUGUGUUUAAACUUCUUUCAUUAAUUACUACAUAUUUUUACACUCACAAUGUUUGCCAGCUCGCUAUAUAAUUAACUUAAAUCAGUUAAAUCCAUCAUGCAAUGCAUUUCUUUCCAAUUUUUUGUGAUAAACUAAUAGAUAAUUGACUAAAUAAACAUCCUGCAAAGUUUUAAUAAAAAUUUCCAAGUUUUUCUUAUAAUUUCCGUGGUUUUUAUUCAAUUUUUAUCGAUAUCGAUAAUAUCCCGAUAUUUCCAUCGAAAUUUCCGUGUUUUUGGACUACCGAUAUUUCCGAUUUCAUCGAUAUUUUAGACCCUUCUUGGGAAUAAUAUAUAUUUUUUCCUUUCUUGUUUGGUCUUUGGUUUUAAGGAAAAUUAAUGAAAAUGACUUGAAAACUUUGAGUUUUAACAAUAAUGACAAACUAAAGGGUAAAGUGAAUAGUAUCAUGAUUGACUUUUUAGUAUAAAAAUAUGAUUUUUCGUUAAAAUGAACAGUACCACAAGCUUUUCGUUAAAAUUCCCUUAGUUUUAAGGGCAAGGUAACACAAGUCAUUGACUUCCGUUUGUGUCCUUCGAGGUCCACUCCUUCCCUCCCCUCAAGGGAAUAAAAACCUGUAAUUCAGACUCAUUCUCCUCACAAAUCCUUCUUUCUUCGCUACUCUAAAAAAAUUUCAUACAUACAAUCCAACAAAUUCCAAAACCUCUCAACAUAUUCCAUCCAGCUAGCUGCACAAACUGAUCCUUUUGUCUCUGGUUUUGUCUUCAAAUGUGAAAGACUUUGCCUAGAAAAAUGAUGAAUAUGUUCUUCCCUCGACUUCUUCCUCAUUCUCUUUUCUUUGUAGCUUGCUUUGUAACUUUUGCCUUUGGAGCUGCUCGAUUGCCAAAUGAUGAAGGUACGAGUAAUUCACCUCAAUAUCUCUAUGUCAAAUAUCUUCCUUAGUUUCCUCUGUUUCAUUCUAUAAAUGAUAGUUUUAAGUUCGUUUGAUAAUUUUUUUAAUUUUCAAUUCUUUUUGAGUUCUCAAAUUUUGGUUUGGUUUUUCCGAGAAGUGAAAACAGUUACCAAUGAACUAAAAAUUAAAAUGGUUAUCAAAUGAACCUUAGGUAAACAGAUAUUUGUGUGAACUUAGUAGAAAUUUUCAAUCAUAUAAGGUGCACUCUGUAGUUCUUGUCUAUGCAUCAAUUUUUUUUUUUUACUAUUUUGUUGAGCACGAUGUUAAUUUGUUGCCUUUUAUUUUGCGUAUAUGCAGUGCAAAUUUUGAAAGACAUAGCAAAGACACUGGGGAAGACGGACUGGGAUUUCAGUGGAGAUGCAGAUCCAUGCAGCGGCCAACUUCCAUGGGCUGAUCCAAGCGCACCCAAAGGAUUAGAGAAUGCCAUCAGCUGUAAUUGCUCCUACGAAAACUCCACCGUCUGCUAUAUUACCAGCAUGUAAACCUCUCUCACUCUCUCUCUCUCUCUCUCUCUCUCUCUCUCUCUCUCAAAAAUAAACAUGGCCGGCUCAGAACUCAGUGAGAUUUUUCAAUGUGAUGGUAUAUCACGUGACACGAUAUAAAUGGUGAGUAACUUGUAUUAAAAAAUUAACACAAUUUGAAACAUAAAACUUUUUUCACUUAUAUAACAACACGUAGUGUAUCUUCCGAAUAUAAUGAAAAAUUUGUUUUCAUCUCACAAGCUAAUACCAAAUAAUCUUAUCGGAAUUUUGUGAUUUAAAUUGAUGGGCAUUUAUUGGUCCACCCCCCGGGGCCCAAUCUAGGGAUAUUUUGAUAUUGCCGCCUCAUUUUUUAUUUCUUUUAAGAAUUUGAUUAAACAUUUUUUUAUACAAUUUUAUUAGAGGCACGUUUGGUUUUAUUAGUACAUUUGAUUUUAUGGACAUUUUGUUUUCUGGUACAUUUGGAAUUUAAACGUAACAAAAGUUGGUAUGUUUGUUUUUAAGUGUACCAUAACUUUUAAAUACAUUUUCUAUAUAACUAGUUAUACGUAAAAUUUUAAUAAGAUUAAAGAAGUUUUUUUAUGAAAAUAUUAAUGAAUUUUUUUAAUGAAAGAAGAGACUAAUUAAAUAUAAUAAAAAAAAUAAAAAGUUAUUUUUUUUAUAAUGAUAAUGAGGAAUUACUGAAAUUAAUAUUUUAAUGAAGCCAUGAAUUUAAAAUUCCUAGAUUGUAGGAAAUAGUUGUUAGAUAGUUUAAGUGAAUAUAUAUAUAUAUAUAUAUAUUAAAUAAAUAAAUAAAUAAAUGUUGAGUUGGAAAUUAAUCAAAACAUCUUAAUCAAAUUUUGUAAAAGAACAUAUGUUUAGUCUAAACAAGUUGAAAAAAAUGGAGGGAAUUCUUAAUUCUUUGUCUUCAAUUUAUUUGACACAUAAUAUGCACAUGAGAUUAUUGCGUUAGUAAACACCAAUUUAAGUACUUAAUGUGAUAAAGAGACAUAAGUUGGAAAAUAAACGUUUGGUUAUAUAGAAUUGUGAAUGAUUAACUUAUUUCUUAAGCGAUAAAAAAUUGCUCAUUAUAUUUUUCUUUUCUGGAUAAACAGUUUGUUCGUUGUGUUUUGAACGAGUUCCAUCUCAUGCAAUAUAUAGAAAUAUUACGAGAAAAAUAAAGAAAAAUUUGAGAAAAGAAUUAGCCAAUUAGGUGCUUCAUUAGUCGAAUAACUUGACUAAGCAAAAACAAUGUACAGAUUAGGCGCCUUUUGUUGUGAAAGGUUGAGAAUGAUAAGAUCAAAGUUUUUCAGUCUUUGUUAUAUCAAUCAUAUUAGAGAAGAAAAAAAAAAUAUAAGAAAGGUCUACGUCCACGUACCAUCCAGUCGACAUUAUAUAAUAUCUACAUGAAGACUUUGCAUUUUAGGUCAAUGAAUCUGAAUGAGCAGAAAUUUCUGUAAGUACUCGGUAUUCAAGCGAGUAAUUUAAGUGUUAUAAAUGAGCGAAGAAAUACAAAAAAAAAAAUAUUAUUAUUUGUAUUAAGAUAUGUGGUGUACUCUUUGAAAAAAUCUAUUCUCAAUGAGCACUUUCUAAUACUUUGUUAGGUUAGAUGUUAAAUUAGCUAGUGGCAUGAUUUGAACUCAUGUCGUCAUACAAAGCCUCAACACUUUUUCACCACUAUGGUAAAGAGUUACGAGUCACUUGCAUCCUACAGGGAAAAUUAACUAGCAUGUAGACUACUAUGCGAAAAAUAAGGGUUAAUCUCAGUUUACUACCUUGAAGUUUCGUGAUUUUCAACAUUUGAUACAUGAAGUUUUUUUCAUCACAGAGUCAUAUCUCAAGUAUUAAUUUUGGAACAGUAUCAUACAUUCAUUAAGUUGGCUGUUAAGUCACAGAGUCAUAUCUCAAGUAUUAAUUUUGAAACAAUAUCAUACAUUCGUUAAGUUGGUUGUUAAGUCAGCCGUUAACUGAUGACGUGACAUCCAUAUAGAUAAUAACUAAGCUCCACGUGUAAAUAUAGGCCAUAUAAAUAUUUAAAAAAUUAAAAAACUAAACAAAUAAAAAUAUGGCCUAUGGAUGCGGGCCUUCCCUUUCCUCCACCCGCACCAACUCUUUAUCUUCUUCUCUUCGACAGCCACCAGAGCUGAUCUGAAAAUCAGCACAACCUCGAAAUUUAAGCCCUAAUUCAACCUAAAUUUCAGAUAGAAGGGCUGGAUUAGUCCAUUAAUCUAAGCGUACGAUCCAAAAUCCAGUUCCCAAUUGUGUUCCUUUCCUCAAUAAACAGCCAGAGGGCUCAACGAAAUGAAGAAAUUACAAAGAGAUGUAUAGAAAACGCACCGUUUUGGAGGUAGGGGCCGUACUCGGUGGCAGAGAGGUGCAUCUUGAUAUAGUCGAGGGUCUCGCACUGGCAAAAGUUGUUGUAAUCAGCGGCGAGCGGUGACCCUGCACUAUGGCCUCCAAGUACCCGCCGUGAAUGUUGAAGAUCAUCGCUUCGAAUCCGUACACUUUCGCUGAAAUUUUGAAAAUUUACGCGAUCUGCCACUGCAUGAUCCGAAAAAUUGAACGUCUCGCGGGAGAGAGAGAGGAAGGGGACGAUCGGGGAACCAGAAACCCCCUUCUGCAGCGAAAUCAAUGGAAACCCUAGCGAUUUGCAGACGGAAGCUGAAAUCUGGAAAUUAACCGCGUGGGCGCCAAUGGAAACCCUAUGGGCUAUGGCUUUCUACUCUGGUUUGAAAUCUCCGCGAUGAAUGCCUCGUUGUUGUUGUCGACGGAGAAGAAAGAGAGAGAACCCAGGCCGUGGUGGUGCAGAUUUUCAGAUCAGCUUUGGUGGCUGUCGAAGAGAAGAAUAAACAAAACUUCAUAAUAAUAAACUGAGAUCGUUCCGAAAAAUAAAGAAAAAGUUGAGAAAAUAGCUUGACUAAGCAAAAGCAACGUACAGCUUAGGCGCCUUUUGUUGUGAAAGGUUGGGAAGGACAGGAUCAAAGUUUUUCAGUCUUUGUUAUACGAAUCACCUUGUAUAAUAUCUACGUGAAGACUUUUUUAGGUACUCGGUAUUCAAGUGAAUAAUUGAAGUGUUAUAAAUGAGUGAAGAAAUAUAAAAAAAAAUGUUAAUUUUCCAUUAUAUUAUGAUAUGUGAUGUGUUGCUUGAAAAAAAAAAGAGUAAUGUUAUUCAUACUAUAUUUUUGUACCAUAUUUUCAUACCAUCUUAGGUGGUAUUUGAUGUGGACAACCAUAUCAUUUGAAUUAAUCUGAUUUUUAAAUUUAGUUCAUUAUUUAAUAAACUAAUAAUUAAGAAAAACUAAUUAAUUAAAUAAUAAUUGUGGUAUACGAGGAGUUUUUCUCCUUCAUUUUCUUGGGUUUUGCAAAUUUUUCAAAUGAUGUGGCUGUCCACAUCAAAUGCCACAUAAGGUGAUAUAGAAAUGUGGUAUAAAAAUAUGGUAUGAAUAACAUUACUUGAAAAAAAAAUCUCUUCUUAAUAAGCGCUUUCUCCUAUAGAGAAUAGAUUUUGUUAGGUUAGGUGUUAAAUUAGCCAGCGAUCGGGUUUGAACCCACGUCGUUAUGUAAGAACUUAACUUUUCACCAUUGUAGUAAAUAACCACUUGCCUCCUACAGAGAAAAUUAACUAGGCAUGUAGACUAAGUGAGAAUAAUAACUAGGGCUGGUUCGGUAUGGGAUACCGAACCGAAAAUGACAUACCAAAUCCCGAACCGAAAAUUUUCGGGACUGGAAUAAGAGGACCGAUACCAACCGAAACUUCGGGAUUCCCAAAUUUCGGUAUUCCCAAAAAAAUUUCGGUAUUUCGGGAUUUCCCGAAACCGAACUUGCAUUGAAAUCCAAAUCAACUAAUUGAAAUCGAAAACAUUCGAACCUGCAUGAAAACCCCAAAAUGAAAUCAGAGAAGUGACAGUGAAUCAGUGAAGAUUGAUGGGAGAUAGAGAGACAGAGUGAAGAGAUAGUUCGUCCUCCUCCUGACCCGAGCCCCUAAUUCGAAACCCUAAUCCCCAAUUCGAAACCCUAAGCCCCAAUUCGAAACCCUAAUUUGAAACCCCACAUAGAGAAUCAAUGGAGAGAAUCGGAGGUGGGGAUGAAGCCGUGAUGUGUAGUGGUGGCCGGAGGGGAGAGAGUUCAUCGGAGUGAGACUGUGAGAGGGUGGUGGCUGCUAGGCUUCGAAUUCGAGAAGGAGAGACAGAGAGAAUCUGAGACUAAGUGAAGGGCCAAAGAUGAGAAAUGAGAGAGAGUAAGUAUGGAUGUGUCGGCUUGGGUUUGAAUUGAGUUGAAGGAAUGUUUUGGUGGCUUCGCCUUUCUGGGUUGCAAAGCAGAUGGAGAUAAUGAGAGAGAGAGAGAGAGCGAGAGCAGCAGACAGCACCCAUGUGCUUUGAUAAAACUUCAAACGCCAGGCACACAAUCAUAUCCUUAUCCCCACACUUAAGUUAUUUUAAUAAUAUAAAUAGGCCAUAUACAUAUAUUCCAACAUAUAUAUAACAAUAGGGUUUAAAGUUCGGUUCGGGAUGGGAAUACCGAACAAUUUUAAGUGUGAGACCGAAUCCCAUACCGAAAAAUUCGGGAUCGGUUUGGUUUUGGUACCAAAAUUUUCGGGAUUUUCGGUAUGGUUUCGGUAUGAUUUGGGAUUUUCGGUAUUUUUUUCCACCCCUAAUAAUAACUUACAUUGAACGAGUUAAAUAUCAUAAAAUUUUACACUUAAAAUUUAGUUCAUUAUUUAAUAAACUAAUAAUUAAGAAAAACUAGUUAAUUAAAUGAUAAUUGUAGUAUACGAGGAAUUUUUCUUCUUCCUUUUCUUGGGUUUUGCAAAAUUUUCAAAUGAUGUGGCUGUCCACAUCAAAUGCCACCUAAGGUGGUAUAGAAAUAUGGUAUAAAAACAUGGUAUGAAUAACAUUACUAGAAAAAAAAUCUCUUCUUAAUGAGCGCUUUCUCAUACAGAGAAUAGAUUUUGUUAGGUUAGGUGUUAAAUUACCCAGCGAUCGGGUUUGAACCCACGUCGUUAUGUAAGAGCUUAACUUUUCACCACUGUAGUAAAUAACCACUUGCCUCCUACAGAGAAAAUUAACUAAGUGAGAAUAAUAACUUACAUUGAACGAGUUAAAUAUCAUAAAAUUUUACGUUUAAUCAUAUUUUAAUACGUGUAAAUUUUUGUUAGCAUGAUAUAUAAUAUUAUAACAAAAAUAUUAAAAAUAAUAAAUUUGUUCGAUGUAAACUGAUCACAAGUGUGUGAGGAGAGAUGUUUUUCUUUCAAAAAAAAAGAUUAGCUGAUAGUUUCGUCAUGACAGGAGUCGAAAAAACUAGUAGAGAUAGCGAGGAGAGAUGUUGAUUAGAUGGUUGGAAUUCGGUUUUGUGGACCCCAUGUCUAUUCGAUAUAUGUAUCAAUCAAUUUUUCUUUUUCUUUUUUUUUUCUGUUAAAAAGUAUCAAUCAAUUUUUCAUUACAUAUCCCCUAACCUAACCCCAUGCCCAUGAAACCUCCAAAAUAAAGUAGGAAUUAUAAGGCUUAGUGUGGGCCUCAUCGAGUUGCCUAUUGGCAACUUGGCACGUCGUAUUCACUCAUUCAACCUUAUGUCGAGCAAGGUAGCUAGGCCGAUUGAUUUCAAUUGGAUUUGAGAGUUGUUAGUUUAAUAGCAAAGUCGAGCUCGUUUGUUUCUUUGUGAUUUUCUCACGCCCCGACCGUAGUUUUGGAGAGAUUUUUUAGUGUGCUAGGAGUACGAUCCGGUAUAUCAAGUAUUAUAAUACAAGUAGUUAUAUACUUGAAAUUUUUUUCCAACUGCUUAUAUUAUGACACUUAGUGAACCAGAUUUGUUUCCCCCGCACACAAAAUUUCUCCUACCUUUGGGGCGUAAAAAUUUUAAAGCUCUUAUUGUGUAUGUAAAACAAGUAAAUGUUGCUACCGUUUAGAGCUAUGAAAAGUGACUACCACUCGUCUUUUUCUCUUCAUGCACACUAUUGAUUUCUGGCCUUUGACGAAUCAAGGGGCAUGAAUAAAACCAAAUUAUGCAAUAAUCAUUUUCAUAAAGCUAUAAGUUAUUCUUGGCAUGCAAGUUGGAUUGAAAAUUUCGAUUUUAACCAAUUCUGUUCUUGUCGGUUUACGAACAAAAAAUAUGAAGCAAAUUGGAACGCAUCUUAAAAUUAGGCCGCCUUUGCCAUUGUUACACAGUUACUAAUUUGUGAUCCAUCAUUGGGUAUAAAGUCAAUAUAAUUCUGAUAUAUCUAGACACUAGUGGGGUUUCCAUUUUCCCAAAUCCUUUACCCUCUAGAUUUUUAAUUUUUCUUCAACCGGCAACCAAUUGGAAGUUUUUCUUGGUCUAAUAAGACCUUGUUGUGCCUUGACAUUCAAGAAAUGCAGAAAGACUAAUCCAUUUCUUUUAUUGAAUGACCAAUGAAACAUCAAUUACAACCUACCAUGGACCGCAAUUCAAGUUAAGCUUAUCUGCAAAAUCGAGUUCAUGGGAUGUGACAAAUUUGCUCAAUUAUGAUAGCAAUGUGUUUUUGAGCUGGCCAUGAGCCAGCAUAGAUGUUCUGUGGCAUGCUGAGUUGUUAGGACUUGGUAUUACAGCUGUGCUGUAUUUAGGCUUGAUUCUUGCAUACUUGAUCAACGUAUAAAAUUUCGCAGUCACCAUGAUUGUUGCGUACUUCUUAUACACGAACAACUUUGUAUCGGCCUAGUUAUUAGUUACAAAGUCGAUGAAAGAAUGAUUCACAAUAUGCUUGUAACAAAUACACACUUACCGUUUGUGUAAUUCUUCAAGUUCUAUUCUUUGUAAAGAACAUUGGACAUUUUCCUUCGGUUUUAAAGAAAACCAGUUCCUUCUUCCUAUUUAAUUCCCUGAUCAAAAGUAAGUAUUUUCUGUGAUAAAUUAGUGUUUUACCUGUUUGGUCCUAUUUGUGUGGCAGCUUUUCCUUUUAGUCACAGUAUAGAUGUGUAAUAGAUAUCUGUUAAUUUACAACUAAUCUUUGAAACCCUGUUUUCCGAUGAAACACAGAAUUCUAAAAUCCCAAGAUUUGCAAGGAACACUCCCACCAGAGCUGGUACAUCUCACCUAUCUUCAAGAAAUGUAAGCACAUUUUUACCCCUCCAAGUUUACAAUAUUUAAAGUAAAAAGAAAAUAACUAUGUGUCGUGUAAAUGGUUUAUUCUAAUUUCAUAUAUAGCUUACCUUUAUUUCUGUUGUCAAUGAGACAAUAACUGGUUUCCUUCUUUCUCCUUUAGCGACCUCACCCGCAACUACCUGAGUGGUACCAUCCCUCCAGAAUGGAGCUCUCUUCCACUAGUGAACAUGUACUAUCUUCUCUCACACUGCAUACAUUUUUGUGUUUGAUGCUCAUGUCAUGUUCUUGUUACUUUAUUUGGUCACUCCAAUGUUCUUCAGCCAUUUCUUUCUUAAACUAUGAAUCUAAUACAUUGGGUUUUGUUCAUGAUAAUGAGCUUCCGUGGUCAUGAGGUGUUUGAAUCAUAAAUAUUGAAUCGAACACAUGGGGUUCAUUGCCUUCGUAUUGAUGAACAUGUUAAUGUUAUUGAGUCUCUUGCUUGAUAAAAGUGAUCUUAAGAUUAUAGUUUUGAUGCAGAUCCCUUCUUGGAAAUCGUUUGACGGGUUCUAUCCCCAAAGAGCUUGGAGACAUCACCACCCUGAAGAGUUUGUGAGUGUUGAUUGAGCAUUUGUUUCUUGCUUACCUCAUUUGAUUAUGUGGAGAUCCUUAAUGAUGUUUUUUAAUCAAUGGAAUUGAAUUUGUUUGUAUAGGGACAUCAGUUUCAAUAAUUUUUCUGGACCUCUCCCUCAGGAGCUUGGAUCUUGGGCCAACAUAGAAAGAAUGUAAGAGUCCUAUUCAAAUUUUACCGUGUUAAAAAGUACUUGGUUUAUUUGGAAUUUUCUUUCUUAUAGACAAAUUCUGGAUGUUUUCACCAAUAAAUCAUCUACUUCUUUAUCAUUGAUAUAUUGUUAUAUCUGUUUCAUACUUAGGCUGCUUUCCUCAAACAACUUUAGUGGGGAGUUGCCAGAAACAUUUGCAAUGCUUACCAAAAUAAAGGACUUGUAAGCUUCUGUGGUUCUUUCUUCUUAAAGGUUUCCUGAGCACUUAUACAUUUUUUACUGCUUUCUGAUACUAAUUCGUAGUAUUUUCCCUUUUCCAAUCAUUAUGCAGUCGGGUUAGUGACAGUCACUUUUCCGAGCGGAUACCUGAUUUUAUUGAGAACUGGAUAAAUCUUGAAAAACUGUGAGUGUUUUUCUUUUGUGUGUCAUAUUUCUGCUAUAUGAUUCUGAAUAUUAUCUCUAAUUCAUAUGCUAUGACUCGUUGAAACAGAGUGAUUCAAGCUAGCGGUUUGACAGGGCCAAUUCCUUCUGGCAUUUCUCUUUUGACAAGCUUAACUGACUUGUUAGUAUAUCCCGUCUAUAUUUUUAAAUACAAAACGAUUAGCAAAAUGUGUAGUUUAUGUUCAUGGCUCAAUUUUAACAUGCAGGAGAAUCACUGACUUGAGUGGACCUGAAUCACCAAUUCCUUCACUUAAUAAGAUGAAAAACAUGAGGACACUGUGAGUUAAUGGUUCCAUGACACACAAUUUUUGUCUGUACCAGAAGUCUUCUGUAAACUCAAAGCUUUGGUGUCUGUUGCAGGAUGUUGAGGAGUUGCAACCUUAUUGGAAAGCUACCUCCAUAUCUUGCACAAAUGAACAAAUUGAAAACUUUGUAAGUUCAAAUGUCUUAGUCCCUAUUUUUUCCGUCUUCAAAUAAAAAAAAUUCUUCUAGAUGUGAUUCUACUAAUUCAAGAUUUAUUGAAGUGACUUAGACGAUGUUGGGUGGACUUUAUGUUUCUGUAUUUAUUAAGAGAACUUCUCUUUCAGAUGUCAUUUCCCUUUCUGCAGAGAGCACAUCUAAACUGCAUUUGCUAUUUGUUUGUGCAGAGACCUCAGCUUUAACAAGCUGACCGGAGAAAUUCCAAGCAGCUUCGGUAGUCUAGCAGAUGUGGUUUAUAUGUAAGCAAUUGGAAUGACCAAUCUAGUCUUUCUUACAUGGAAUUCAAGCAGACAUUCUUCAAUGGUUUUGUUACACCCCAGCCUGGCAAGCUGGAAGUAUUUCCAAUCACAGUUACUAUAAUUAUGAGUCACGGGUUAUACUGCAAUGAAAAUGAAAACGGCUCUUCUGCUCAGAAAUGAAAUGUUUAGUUUAUUCAUUAGAGUCAUUACUACUCGUGCAAUUAUCUGACAUAAGGUGAUCACCCUUAGAUGUGUCUUUCACAUGGAAGUACUGAUCUAAUGCACUCAGAGUUGGCAAACUCAAAUUUUCAAACCUUUACAAAGAACAAACACUAUUCUCUACUGAGUUUUUUCUGUAUUCAUUAUUUUUAGAUUCUUAACUGGAAACUUGCUGACUGGACCUGUACCUGCUUGGCCAAGAGUCAACGUGUAAGCUUCUCUUCCAAAUGCUACUCUUUAGCUACUAAGGAAAUUUAUGCUGUUUUUUUUACUAAGAUAGAUAUAAAACUAUUAUAUCAAUAUUGAGUUUUGGUUUCAAUAUUUGUUGUAUAUUUCAUUAUGAAGAUUACAAGAGAGUGAAGGCAACUCUUAUAGAGAGCCAAAAGAAAGCUACAAUAGAUUGUAGGAUAACUACACAAACACAAUCCCUAAAAUCUGCCCUAACAAAUGGAAAAGCAAAAACCAAAUUACAAGUAAAAAAGCUUUUACAAACAACUAAGAAAGGUUGAUGUAAGGUGAAUGACAAGGAAAGUGACUGGUGAAUGACAAGCUAUGGAAAGUGACUUUAGCCUAUGACUUAGCUAAAGUGAGGAUGACAACUCAUACAUACAACCCAUCCAUACAAUCCAUACAAACCGGUUUCAAUACACCCCCUCAAGCUGGAUCAAGGGGAUUGAUUGAUCCAAGCUUGCACAACAAACGCUGAAACUGAGUAGAGUCUAGUGCUUUUAUGAAUAAAUCAGCAAGUUGAUCGUGGCUGCAUGUGAACACGGUGUCUAUCACCUUGGAUUGAACUUGAGCACGAAUAUAAUGGCAGUCAACUUCAAUAUGUUUGGUCCUUUCAUGGAAUACUGGAUUGGAGGUAAUGUGCAUGGCAACUUGGUUAUCACAAUACAAGGAUAUAUGUGCCAUGCUUGUGAAUCCGAGCUCGGAAAGAAGACCUUUCAACCAUAUGAGUUCACAGGCUGUUGCUGUCAUAGCCCUAUACUCAGCUUCGGCGCUAGAUCGAGCAUUAAUAGUUUGUUUCUUGCUCUUCCAAGUGACAAGGUUCCCUCCAACAAAUAUGCAAAAACCUGUUGUGGAUUUUCGAUCAAGGGCAUUUUCAGCCCAGUCAGCAUCUGUGUGGGCCAAGAUGUGAUUUGAUCCAUUGUUCUUCAUAAUUAUCCCCCUUCCUACUGAGCCCUUGAGAUAUUGAAGUAUUCUCUUGACGAUUUCCCAGUGAACUAGAGUAGGAGAGUGCAUGAACUGACUGGCUAGGCUAACUGAAUAUGAGAUAUCAAGCCUAGUAAUGGUGAGAUAAAUAAGUUUCCCAACCAUUCACUGAUAAACACUAGGGUCCGAGAGAGGUUCACUUUUUUCAUGCCACUGAAGUUUUCUAGCUAGGGGUGUCCAAGCUGGUUUACAUUCCAUCAUGUUAGCUUCAUCUAGAAGAUCAAGAACAUACUUUCUUUGAUUUAAGAACAAUCCCUUUGAAGAGGUAGCCACCUCAAUUCCAAGAAAGUAUUUCAAGGGCCCCAAGUCUUUAAUGGCAAAUUUUUGGUGAAGUGAUUGCUUAAGCGUCUUUAUUUCACUUAUAUUGUCACCUGUAAUAAUUAGGUCAUCAACAUAUAUAAGCACAACCAAUUUUCCAGCAAUACCACUUCGAACAAACAAAGAAGAGUCAGCAUGACUCCUUUUGAACCCUGCAGCUUCAAGGACUGAACUAAGCAUCGAAUACCAAGCUCGAGGGGACUGUUUGAGACCAUAUAUGGCUUUGUGAAGUCUGCAGACCUUGUUGGGUUCAUUUUCUCUUGGAUGACCAGGAGGCAACUUCAUGUACACUUCUUCUUCAAGAUCCCCAUGAAAAAAAUGCAUUCUUCACAUCCAUUUGGAAUAAGGGCCAUGCAUUAUUGACUGUCACAGACAACAAUACCCUCACUAUGUUCAUUUUGGCAACAGGAGCAAAGGUCUCCUUAUAGUCAAUGCCAUAGUUUUGAGUAAAGCCUUGAGCUACUAACUGUGCCUUGUGUCUUUCAAUGCUUCCAUUGGAGUUGAAUUUGGUCUUAUAUAUCCACCUACUUUCCACGACCUUCUUGCCAUUUGGAAGAUCCACCACACUCCAUGUCUGCUUGUCAUUCAGAGCUUGAAGCUCUUUAGUCAUAGCAUCUUGCCACUCAGGCAUGCAUGUGGCUUCAUGAAAAUUCCUUGGUUUGAAAGUGUGGGACAAUUUGUUAAGGAAAGAAGUAUGAGAAGAUGAGAAUCUAUGAUAAGAAAUGGCUGCAGAGAUAGGAUGCCUUGCAGUGUAAGUAACAUACUCUUGUAACCUCAUUGGUGGAUGUCUAUCUCGUGUAGGAUUUCUUCUUGGUGUACUUAUAGCUUGCUGAUUUGGUUGAGCUUCUGAUGGUUCAGAUGAGCUUGGCACUGCAUCAAUUACACUCUCAGUGAGUUAAGAAUUAUCAGUGCUGAUAUGAGUAGGAGUGACUUCAUGAAUUUCUGCUGGAAUAGGUAGUGGAAAUAGGUCCAUAAGAUCUUCCAUAUUAGCAUUAGUCUUCAACCCUUUGUGGAAAUAAGGUGAAUAUUCAUCAAAUCACACAUCUCUAGAGACUGCCAGCUUUCCCGUGUUAGGGUUGUACACUUUGUAACCCUUUUGAGAAAUGGCGUAUCCCAUAAACACACAUUUGACAACUCGAGGGUCGAGUUUGUCAUGAUGGAGAUCUUGAAUGUGCACAUAACAAGUACAACCAAAAGUCCUGAGGUAAGACAAGUUUAUAGGCCUUCCUUUCAUGACUUCAAAAGGAGAUUUAGUAUUCAACACCCGAGUUGGCAGUCUAUUAAUGAUGUACGUGGCAGUGAGUAAGGCUUGAGACCAAAAUUUCUUAGUAAUAUUCAUUUGGAUCAUAAGUGAUCGAGUCUUCUAAUAAGUCUCAAUUCUUUCUCUCUGCCACACCAUUUUGUUGUGGUGUACCAACACAGCUAGUUUGAUGCAAAAUGCCAUGAUUGCUCAAGUAAUUAUUCGUGUUAUUGGAAAUGUACUCGGUACCAUUAUCUGAUCUUAACAUAUAUAACUUAGAUGAAAAUUGAUUGGUGAUUAGGUUGUGAAAGUCGUUAAAAGCAUCAAACAAAUCACUUUUAAGUUUUAAAAGAUACAACCAGGUUACUCUAUAAUAGUCAUCAAUAAAUGUAACAUAAUAUCUAUACCCAUCAAAGGAUUCUACACGAGAAGGACCCCAAAUAUCAGAGUGAACAAGCUCAAAAAGUUUACUAGUUCUAGAAUUAGAGGAAACAAAAGGAAGUCUAGUGGCUUUUGACAUUUGACAAGUUUCAUACUCUAGUGUGUUUUUACAAAAAAAGGGAAACAACUUGGUCAUCACAUGUUCUGAGGGAUGGGCAAGGCGUUGAUGCCAGAGUUGGUGUUCCUGAACUUGACUUAAGUUGACACCGAGCUUUUUGACAAAAUUGGACUCAUUUGAAAGAUAGUAGAGUCCAUUCAAGAAGAACCCUUCACCAAUCUUCUUCUAAGUAACUCGGUCCUGAAACACAACAUUGUGAGGGGAAAAUAUGGCAAGACAGUCUAAGGUUUUUGUAAUUUUUUCCUAUUGACAAGAGCUGAAAAGGAAAAGAAGGUACAUAGAGAACAGUGGAAUCAGUAUGCUCACUUAGCAAUCUAAUCUUUCCUUUCCCUAGAAUAGGUUCCCAUUUCCCAUUUGCAACAGAUACAUGCAUUGGAUCAAUAGUUCUUUGAAAAUCGUGGAGACUAGAGGGUUUAUUAGUUAUAUGAUCAGUGGCACCAGAGUCAAUAAUCCAAAAAUCAUGUGUAACAUUUGCAUUAAGAGCAGUGGAAAUGGCACUGAUAAUACCUGAAAUAUUUCCUUUCGAUGUGUUCUCCGAGUCAGCCAAGAAUCCAGCAAAUUUCCCUAGCAUUGCAGUAGGGUUUUCAAGUGUCAUUUCAUCAGGUUCAGUGCUUCCUUGCUUCUUUUGAAGAAAAGCAGCAAACUCGUUGAUCAAGGACACAUGAUUGUUGAGAAAUUGGCCAUCCCAUCAGUUAUGGAACAAGCUGAAUGAAAUGCUUUUGUAGUGACUCCACCCUUCCCAUCUUUGAUCAUCCUGCCUUCCCUAUCAAACUUAGGCUUUAACUCCGGAUGAAGAAUCCAACAUUUUUCUCUCAAAUGUCCCUUCAUGUUGCAAUAAUAACAUUUCCAGUCUGCUUUCUUGCCAAGUACCCUAUCACCAGUUGCUUUGUGAUUUGUCGUGAAAACCCUAGCUUCAGAAUUGGAUUUGGGCUCAACGUUCAUCACUCUUCGUCAAGUUUCCUCUCUCUGGACUGCAUGACACACACUGGUAAAUGAGGGCAGCUCUUGAGUCAUUAACAAGUGACUACGCAGGUCUUCAUACUUCGUUCCCAAGCUUGCUAAGAGUUGAAACACCUUGUCUUCAUCAGCCAUCUUCAGUAGCACAGCGGAAUCAGUCGUGUGUGGACGAUACAUAUUGAGUUCAUUCCACAUGGAUUUCAUACUUCCAAGGUGUUGAACAAAUGAGUGAUCACCUUGCUUUAAACUAGCCACACUCUUCUUCAGUUAAAAGAUGCAAACUGAGUUGUUUUGGCUGCCAUACAUGUCUUUGACAGACUCCCAUAGGAGAAGGGAAGACUCUGAGUAAUUGAAAAGCUCAGACAGUUUUGGCUCCAUAAAGUUAAGUAACCAGGACAUGACCAGUUAAUCAGUAGCAUGCCAUGCAUCGUAAGUUGGUGAAGUGGAUUAUGCGGGCUCAGAGCUUCCAUUGAUAAACCCUAGCUUCGAUCUUCCCCCUAGAGCAAGUGACACAGCUCUUGACCAAGGAAGGUAGUUGAACUCGUUCAGUAGCACCGAGCAGAGUCGUUGAUUUGGAUUGUUUUCAACCCCUUGGGUUAAGUUUAGGGAGGAGGAUGAGGCACUAUCGGCACUAGACACAUUUUCUUCUGCCAUCUCUUUCGAUGAUGAGCAAAUGAAGAAGUAAAAAAAAAAUGACCCUAUGGUUCCUGCUCUGAUACCAUGUUGAGUUUUGGUUUCAAUAUUUGUUAUAUAUUUCAUUAUGAAGAUUAGAAGAGAGUGAAGGCAACUCUUGUAGAGAGCCAAAAGAAAGCUACAAUAGAUUGUAGGAUAACUACACAAACACAAUCCCUAAAAUCUGCCCUAACAAGUGGAAAAGCAAAAACCAAAUUACAAGUAAAGAAGCUUUUACAAGCAACUAAGAAAUGUUGAUGUAAGGUGAAUGACAAGCUAUGGAAAGUGACUGGUGAAUGACAAGCUAUAGAAAGUGACUUUAGCCUAUGACUUAGCUAAAGUGAGGAUAACAACUCAUACAUACAACCCAUCCAUACAAUCCAUACAAAGUGUUGUUUCCUUUUGUACUGACAUACUACACCUGGAAAAGAAUUUUUUAGUGCUUCUUUGAUUCUGGUUUAUGAAACCUCAAUGAAUAUGAGGACUGGGGGGAAGAUGAUUAAUAAUGAAAAUGAAAGGAUGAAGAAAAUCACACAGAGAAUAUAGGUCCCCACUCAAGUCGUGCAAAGAGAAUAUUACCGUUAGCAAAGCACAGCUGGAUCCUUAGACAUCACAAAGUGAUCUUAGCCACACAUCUAACUAAUUUCUAGGAUCCUUAGACUUCACACAAGGCAUUAUUUGCCGUACAUCUUUGAACCUCACACUUGGCCAUAUUACAACUCUAAGUGAAUAUAGAAUUAAGCUCAUAACUUAUGUCACUAAUUCUAAUCAGCUCGAGACCUACAAUUCAACAGAAUUUGCAUCAUAGCUCUUUUUGUGCAGUGAUCUUUCGUAUAACAACCUCGCCAUAGAGGAUGCAAGUUGUCAACCACGAGGUGGCACGUAAGAAUGUCUUCAUUAGCUUGAAGUUAAUCUGUUUGUGUUAUGUGGAGAAAAGCUUAACUUUUCAUUUGUGUUAAUUUCUGCAGUAACUUGUUUGCAAGCUCGUCAAAAGGAAAUAGUUCGUAAGUUCAAAUUAAUCGUCUCAAAGCAUGCACCUAUAAAUUUACUUCGGUAUCCAAUGGUGUAUUCUUUACUAUUUUUUUUUCCAACUUCGUCUCAUUUAUGAUUGCUGACAUUUUUUGUACCCUGAAUUACUAUAUCCGGAGAAUCGUUUCAUGUUUCAAAACUUCAGAGUGUCCAAAAUGUAAGCCGAGUUUCUACACAAAUAAUUACCUUUAUUUUUUCGCUUCAUUCUUUUUUAGUUUUCCUCCUCAAUGCCUACUAAUCUCCAAUUUAUUUUUUCAUAGAUUUGUACUACUCUCUCCAUAUAAAUUGUGGUGGGAAACAAUUUACGGUCCCUGGAGGAAAAGAUACAGUAUAUGAUGAUGACACAUUUUCAGCUGGACCUUCAUCAUUUACCUGAGCAGAACAAAUUGGGCAUUAAGCAGCACCGGUUACUUCCCUGAUGAUGACCGCCCUUAUGACACCUUUAUAUGGACUAAUGAAACUAGACUCUCUAUGGCCAAUCCUCAACUGUACAUGAACGCACGCCUUUCUCCCAUCUCUCUAACUUAUUUUGGGUUUUGUCUGGGAAAUGGAAACUACACCGUAAACCUCCAUUUUGCAGAGAUAAUGUUUAGAAAUGGCAAAACAUAUAAAAGCUUGGGAAGGCGCAUAUUCGAUAUUUACAUUCAGGUAAGUAUCGCAUCCACUUCCAUGUAUACCAGUGAAUUAUUCUAAUUUUCAACAAGCAUUGUUUAUAUUUUGGUCGAUUUGAAUGUUAACUUUCACAUUUAUGAUCAUGAAAUGUUAAGCAACUAAAUUAGUGUGUGUGUGUGUGUGUGUGUGUGUAUUGCAGGGAAAACUAGUGAAGAAGGACUUCAAUAUCAUGGAUGAAGCUGGCGUGUUUGGUGAUGUAGUCAUAAAGAACUUUACUGCUCCUGUAACUAAUAAUACAUUGGAGAUUCGUUUCUAUUGGGCCGGAAGAGGGACGACAGGCAUCCCUUUUAGAGGAGUCUAUGGUCCUCUUAUUUCAGCUAUUUCAGUAGACCCAAGUAAGUUUUCACUGAUCUGAGCUUCGUCUAAUUACUAUGCG
This 66957-nucleotide long non-coding RNA is filed under the name Malus domestica (apple). RNAcentral describes it as "long non-coding RNA (MDOM_LNC010903)". The record is from RNAcentral. Lineage: Eukaryota; Viridiplantae; Streptophyta; Magnoliopsida; Rosales; Rosaceae.